Molecule: long non-coding RNA, 49257 nt
Filed under: Malus domestica (apple)
Lineage: Eukaryota; Viridiplantae; Streptophyta; Magnoliopsida; Rosales; Rosaceae
Description: long non-coding RNA (MDOM_LNC003517)
Source: RNAcentral
GCAAACCUGGUAACUCUAUUGCACAUGGAAGGGCAUCGUUCGUACCAGAACUAGUAUUAUCCCGGAUGAGAUCUUUGUACCCGUUAAAGUAAUAGUAGUAGAUGUCGAAAACCGUGGCUGGUUGAAUCCAAAGCAGCACAUUUGGGAGGUGAAGUUCAUGUGCCACGUCCGCGGCCCAAGGGAGAAGUAUUGUGUAGACUAGGCAAGUAUAAGGGUGACCCUCGUUUGCACUUGAGACUACAAGGUCGGUGAUGGCUUGUGCUCCGCGGCGCCGCAACUCCGACCAGUAGUGGUCGAUGUUGUCGCCGGGCUUAAACCCGUCGUCGUACCCAUCAGAGAAGGGCGCAUAAGUCAAUCCAUCUGGAAUUGAGCCAUUGCCUAUGCGAUGAUGGGCUGAGAAACUGGUAACGAAGGUGACGUGCGCACCUGUAGUGUUGAUAAGGCGCUUGGCGAAUUGGAGGGAAGGGUUGAUGUGGCCUUGAGCCGGAUAUGUGACAAGUAGAAAGCGGUGUUGCACCAUGGCAGCGUAUGCGAUUGCGGAGGUGCGCGGUGGAGCGUGGAGUUGUUGGAAGUAGAAUAAGUAGGUACCUAGUUUACUGGUGGAAAAUUUGGUGCUGUGGGCUUAUUAGCUUAGUGAAGUAGAAAUUCUUGUGGGAGUACGUAUUCAAGGUGGGGAAUGCGGUGAGAGGAUGGUAAGGCUUAAAUAGGGGCUUGGGGGCAGAAAUGUUACGUUUGUGCUGACGAAUUGAAGGCGCUGGAGAAGGACAAUUGUAAUUUGUGGUCAUCUCGAUGCAUGCAUAUAAUAUUAUGGGUAAUAAUACUCUCACUACAUAUUUAUACCAUCAUUUGUAUUAUUUUUAUAAUAAUGAUGAGAUCCACAUGUUCUUGUGGAUCCUAUCUUUUGAGAGAUUAUACCAAAUGUGGUAAGUGUAGCAUUAUUCUUAUUUAUAUCAUAUUUUGUAAAUCAUAUGAUGUAAUUGUUGAUGAUUUGAUUAUUACUUAAGCGUUAAUUUUCGUGAUUAUUUUUUAUAAUUACACCUCACAUAAUGUACAAAUUUAGUCUAAAAAAUUAGUUUACCUAACAUUACUUUUUUAAAAUUGGUUUCAUUAAACUUCAUAGCACAUCACAUGGACUAAAUCCAAUCUAAUGUGGUAUAAUAUACAUAUUAAUCUAUCACCGAAAAACUGAUAAAUACACAUGUGAGUAACUUGACCAUGAAUAAUGUUAGGCCUCGUUAAGUUAGGCUUCGUAAUCGUCAGCGAGGCCAUGAAUAAUUGGGUUCCUACAAAGGAGCCUAUGCGGUUCAUCAUAGAUGUGAGCAACUUCACCUUGAGGUCUUGUCCUCAAUACUAGAAAAAAACUCAGGACCAAGACACGAUCUGAUGGUGGCACGCUUCCGCACCCUAAAACUAAAGUCCUAAAACUAAAAGGACCAAUUUUUUUUUUUUGUGGUCCUAAGCCGAAAGGAGGCGUGUUGAAAUAUGUUAUUACAUCGACACAAUGAAGGAGAAAAUAAGAGUUCAAAUAUCAUAAUUUUACUCCAAUUAAUAUUGAGGUUUUUUUGUGAUAAAAACCUCACACAUUAAACUGUGCAAGUGCUAAUUAACAAGUUUGAGACAAUAUCGAUAUUGCUGGAAGUUGAUCUUCAUCCCCUAUUUUUUAUAAUUUGACAAGGCGAUAUGAAGCGCAAAAUAAUAAGCAACCAAAUAGUUUUGGUGAAAUGGAAUAUGAAAUACCUCAACCGUGGGACUCAUACUCUAUUUUAUAUAAUCUAUUGCUUUAGAUAUCUUUCAUCUUAUAAGUACAUUAUCCUAAAUUCUUAAUCCUGGUAAGAUUCCUAGUCAGACUAACUUCCCUAAUUAAGCUAGAUGGUUGUAGUAUUGACUUCAGUCAAGCAUGCAUGAUGAGUGCAUGAAUUCACUUUCUAUUUCUCAUAAAGUUCAUAGUACAUAACCUGGACUAGUAGGUUUGACGUGGUCAGAGAGACGAGCGAAUUUGGUAACCACAAACUGAUUAAUACACACAUACAAAUUUGUGAUUUCUCCAGUUAAGGGCCUAGGGCCCCGUUUAUCAUAUGCCGAGUUUGAUUGGUCUAGCUGCAUCACACUAAAAUUGAUUGGUCUAGCUGCAUCACACUAACUUUCGUUUGAUAACAACGAUUGAUGACGUAUUUAUAGGAGAGGUGAGCAUGCCAAAAAGUACAAAAAGUGUGGCAUGACCGUUGUCACGAUUUUAGUAAUAGCUACUCUAGCAACAACACGCUUGCUUUGUGGCUAUUGCUCCCUUUUCUUGUAUUGCUGUUGAUUCUAAAAAUUAUCAAACUUACGUGACGUGCAUGCCAAGUAACUAAGAAUUAACUACGUCCUUUUUGUGGUUGAUGCGGGUGUGCCACCUCGCCGCCGAGGCACUAUUCUAAAAAUCCCCGUCUAGCGCCGCCUAGAUGCUAGGCGGCUAGUCACCGUCCCGAUUAAUACUUAGGCAUUUGAAAAUUAAGAAAGGAUGCCUGGACCUGCUAAGGUGCCCGCCCAAACCACCUAGGCACCUGCCUAACUUGCCUAGACCAUCCUAGGUUGCGAUUCACUUAGAUAGAAAAUAGAUGACUUUCAUUUUGUAUUUUAUUUUUUUAAUAAAUUGUAAGAAACUUGUUGAAUACACACAUUAUGUGCGUUGUUGAUGCACAAAAUCAGUGGGGACUUUGGUACAACAGAAAAUGUUAAGUUUGUGACCUUCACUAGAUUGCUCCGAUCACUAGUGUAGAUAAGUAUGUAAAUGGAUAGAGACAGAGAAGCAAACACAAGAUGUACGCGGUUCACCCAGAUUGGCUACAUCCACGGAGUAGAGGAGUUCUCAUUAAUUGUGAAGGGUUUACACAAGUACAUAGGUUCAAGCUCUCAUUUAGUGACUAGUGAAUGAUUUAGUACAAAUGACAUUAGGAAAUAUUGUGGGAGAAUGAUCUCCUUUUAUAGAAGAGAGUUUCUAGCUUUGUUUUGACAUUGACACGUGUCGUGUUGUGAUUGGCUUCUGAUGUUGACACGUGUUGCGCUAUGAUUGGCUUCGGAUGUGUCUCCUGGUUGGAGGGAAACUCUUCUGGGUCGUUGACGGUAUAACGUUGACCGGUACUCGGUAGUUUCGGGAUUGGUCAAGUAUGGUACAAACAGUGCUCCCCUAAGUUCUCGAGUGAGGGAAACUCCUCGGUUGGGGACUUGCAAGAUCCAAGCCGCUGAGUAAUCACGAAACUUCUAAGCACUGAAGUGUGGUAUCGUUUUCAUUUGCCUUAUUUGUCUCAUAGAUAGAUGUGGCAUCUUCUCUGGAAGUAUUUUUCCUCCAUCUAAGGGUGGUAUCUUUAACAGGUGGAGAUGCACAAGGUAAUGUAUUAAUUUCACUUGAAGCUUACUUGUAGUUUCAGACUUGGUCAAGCGCGAUACAAACCAUGUAGUAGGAGUUCCCCAAGUCGCCGAGCUAGGAGAUCUGCCUAAAGAGGUGACAGACAAGGUAAGCAAUUAGAGUUCUAAGCAAUCAGUCCCAGAUCAGGAGUUUGAUUUUGAGUUCUGGCUGAUUGUUCUCAUUCUCCCUAUCUUGCAGGCAGUAAAAAGGAUAAAGAGAAGAAAAAGGAGAAGAAAUAAUAUGAGAUACUUUUGCUUUUGAAGAAGUAACUUUCCACAUGCUUAUUCUUGAACUGGUUAGAGGGUUUUCUGGUUUCCUCUAGAGUAUAAGGCCGACUCAAGAAUUUGAGGGUCAAAACAAGUUUAUCAAAUCUAGAGUACAUUCAACCCUGAUGAUAUGGGAUACCCUUACUGUUGACAAAGUAGUGGAUGUGGCAUGGCGAGGCUUUGCUCUUUGGCGACGGUGUCAGCGAAAGGCUGUUGAAGCUUCUUGAGCUAUUCGGAUAGGGCAACGAUAUCGAGCUUAGAUUUGACUUAAACUCCUCCGUCUGGAUUAUGCGGUUCUGCAGGGGGUCGUGCUAUAGUGAUCUAUUCUAGCUCAUCAUUGAACCUUCUACUCCAAUCUUUUGCAUCGCAAAAGUGGUAUGCAACCUUUGCAUUUGAAUGGUCCUUCAGAGUACUACUUCUCAGCGACUCAUCCAUGCUUGGCAGCUUUAGUGUAAAGAGCCAAUAUUGUAUCAACUGUUCUAAGGUAUUUUCUGAAAAAAUUCGCGACCUUGACAACAGUUGAGGAUGAGUACUCAAGAGCAAUGCUAGGUGAGCAACUAGGCAAAGGUUCCGAGCAAUCAGUUCUAGAUCGGAAGUUUGAUUUCAGGUUCCAACUGAUUGCUUUCUUUCUCCUUGUCUUGCAGGUAAGAGCAAAGGCAAAUGGAAAGGCAGGGAAAAAGCAUGAUAUGAGAUACUCUUGCUUUUAACUCUGAUGAUAUGAGAUACUCUUGCUCUGGUGUAGCUUAUUUGCAGAGGUAUUAUCAGGGGGAAAUGAAGCUGAGUAUAUCGAGAGACUCUGCUGAGAGUGCCCUCUCGGAUGUGAAGAAAAGUUGAGCAUUUUUUUUAUUUGCAGGUCUGCCUGGCUGUGGAUGAUGAAGGUCGGCAUAUAUAGGGAUUGUCCCAACAGCGAGUAGUAACGUUGUUCAUUUAUCCUUCUCGGUUAUAGCAAUGUAGUGGGAGUUGCAAGAUUCACAUGUUUUAACUUUGUCAGAGCACUUUGAAAAAGUGGUCUGUGGUAUCUGAAAAUCUGAUGUUGAGUGUGAAGAUUGCAGAUAAAUUUUAUCCAAGGAAAUCUGGCUCUCGAAGUUUGAAGAGUGGUGUCUUUUCGAUUUUCGAACAAGCAAUCAUGUUGGGGAUCUGACUUUCGAGAUUCAGAGAGUGUUGUCUCUUUGAUUUUUGAACAAGCAAUCAUAUUAGGGAUCUGGCUCUCGAGAUUUAGAGAGCGGUGCCUCUUCAAUUUUUGAGAAAGCAAUCCUGUUAUGAGUCUGGCUUUCGAGAUUCGGAUAACGGUGACUUUUUUAUUUUUGAGAAAGCAAUCCUAGUGGGAGUCUGGCUCUCGAGAUUCGGAGAGCGGUGAGCCAGAGAUUCGAAGAGCGGUGCCUUUUCGAUUUUUGAGAAAGUAAUCCUGGUGGGAGUUUGGCUCUCGAGAUUCGGAGAGCGGUGCCUCUUCGAUUUUAGAGCAAGCAAUCCUAUUGGGAGUGUUUUCUCGAUGUGGGUAAAUGUUAGGCAUUUUUGCCAGUCUGCCUUGCCACGGAGCACAGAGGUUGACACAUAUAGGGACUACCCAUUUAUCAAGCAGUGGUGUUGUUCUUUUACCCUUGUGGGUAAUGGUAGGGUAGCUGGACCUUCAAAAUUUAUGUGUCUAAACUUUGUCAGAGAUCUUUGGCAAAGUUAUAUUUGGUACCUAAGGAGUUGAUGUUGCGUGUGGGGAUUGUCGACAUAUUUUACCUAGGAAAAUCUGCUUCUCGAAAUCCGGAGAGUAGUGCCUCUUCAAUUUUUGAACAAACAGCCCUGCUGCCCUUUCGUUUAUAGGGGCACCAAUUGUGUGCAAGAAGUAUGUUCAGAGAGUUAUUGCUUGUAGGAAUUUUUCCCUUAUUUUCGUACUUCAGAGAUUUAUUGGACCUCAUUUCUCCUUCAUCAUUUCUGAAAAUGUCUGGCCCAUCUGACCGUCGUUUUGACUUGAACUUUGGUGAAGAGGCAGCCAUGCCUCCUCAAGACAAUAAAUGGCGCUUAUCCUUCUUAUCCCCUACUGGUCCUCUUACCGUUGGGGACUCUGUGAUGAAGAAUGAUAUGAAAGCUGUGGUGAUGGCCAAGAACCUUCUCACUCCCAAAGAUAACAUAGUACUUUCCAAACGGUCUAAUGAGUUGGCUGUUAAGGAUUCUCUGGCUUUCUGUGUUCAGUGUGCAGGUUCUGUGUCUAAUAUGACUUAACGCCUAUUUGCUCAAACCCGCCAAGUUGAAUCAUUGGCGGUUGAAGUGAUAAGUCUCAAACAGGAGAUUAGAGGGCUCAAUCAUGAGAAUAAACAGUAGCAUAGGCUCACACAUGACUAUGCUACAAACAUGAAGAGGAAGCUUGACUAGCUGCAGGAAUAUGAUGGUCAGAUUUUACUUGAUCAUCAGAGGUUUGUGGGUUUGUUCCAAAGACAUUUAGUGCUUCCGUCUUAUGGGGCUGUACCGCUUAAUGAAGCUCCAAAUGAUCAACCUCCCAUGCCUCCCACUUCUGGGGUUCUGCCCAGUACUGAGUCUCCGAAUGAUCACCCUCUGGUACCUUCUCUUUCAGGGGCUCUGCCGACUGCUGAGACUUCUCUUGAGCAACUUUUGUGAAGGCUCCCUCUUGUUUGUUUAUUUUGAUUCAUGUAUAUGUACAUAUUUGUAACUUAUCGGAGAUAACAGUAAAUAAACUUUGCUUCUUUUCAACGUAUUGUGUUAAAUACACCAAAGCCUUCUUAACUAAGUUCUUUGAAUUUUUUCUUUUGUUGAAGCUUGUAUGUUGAAGCUUGUAUGUUGAAGCUUGUAUGUUGAAGCUUUGUGAGUGAAGCAUGUAGGUUGAAGUAGUACUCCCUUAAUUUCUCGAGUGAGGAAAACUUCUUGGUUGGAGACAUGAAAGAUCCAAGUUACUGAGUAGUCGUGAACCUUCUAAGUACCAAGGUGUAGUAGCAUAUGGUAGGAGUCCCCCAAGUCUCCGGUCGAGGGAGUUGACGUAGAAGGUGUCUUGCUAGUAGUCAAGUUUCCAAAGUAACAAAACUUCACUGUUUUCCUUUCUAAGUGGUAGCCCAAAACUCCUCAUUCAUAUAUAUUUGUUAUGAAAGUUGUUAGGCCCAAAGAAGAUGAGGCCUAGGCCCUUUUUUUUUUUUGAAUUUUUGAAUUUACAAAUUUCUGAAUAUAUAUAUAUAAGCUUUUUAGGUGAUGCUUUGUAGGUGAAGCUUUGAGGUUGAAGCUUUGUUGGGUAUCAUAAAUUGAUUUUGCUUCACAUUAUCUAGAUCAAAAGUGUGUGAAGCUUUUGGCAUUUGUAGUUGAAGCUUUGUAGGUGAAGUUUGUGUGUUGAAGCUUUGUAGGUGAAGCUUUGAAGUUGAAGCUUUUAUAGGUGAAGCUUUGGACUUGAAGCUUUGUGGGUGAAGCUUUGGAGUUGAAGCUUUUGUAGGUGAAGCUUUGGAGUUAAAGCUUUAUAGGUGAAGCUUUUGCGUUGAAGCUUUGUAGGUGAAGCUUUGGAGUUGAAGCUUUUGUAGGUGAAGCUUUGGAGUUGAAGCUUUGGAGUUGAAGCUUUGUAGUUCAAGCUUUUGCGUUGAAGCUUUGUAGGUGAAGCUUUUAUGUUUAAGCUUUGGAGUUGAAGCUUUGGAGUUGAAGCUUUUGUAGGUGAAGCUUUGGAGUUGAAGCUUUGUAGGUGAAGCUUUUGUGUUAAAGCUUUGUAGGUGAAGCUUUUGUGUUGAAGCUUUGUAGGUGAAGCUUUGGAGUUGAAGCUUUUGUAGGUGAAGCUUUUGUUGGCAUCAUAAAUUGGUUUUGCUUCACAUUGUCUUAAUCAAGAGUGUGUGAAGCUUUUGAGAAUUAUGGUUGAACUCCAUUGAUGAAGCUUUUGUUGGCACCAUAAAUUGGUUUUGCUUCACACUAUCUUGAUCAAGAGUGUGUAAAGCUUUUGAGAAUUAUGGUUGAAAUCCUUUGAUGAAGCUUUUGUUGGCACCAUAAAUUGGUUUUGCUUCACACUGUCUUGAUCAAUAGUGUGUGAAGCUUUUGAGAAUUGUAGUUGCCCUCCAUUGAUGAAGCUUUUGUUGGCACCAUAAAUUGGUUUUGCUUCACACUGUCUUGAUCAAGAGUGUGUGAAACUUUUGAGAAUUGUAGUUGCCCUUCAUUGAUGAAGCUCUUGUUGGCACCAUAAAUUGGUUUUGCUUCACACUGUCUUGAUCAAGAGUGUGAAACUUUUGAGAAUUGUAGUUACCCUUCAUUGAUGAAGCUCUUGUUGGCAUCAUAAAUUGGUUUUGCUUCACACUGUCUUGAUAAAGAGUGUGUGAAGCUUUUGAGAAUUAUGGUUGAACUCCUUUGAUGAAGCUCUUGUUGGCACCAUAAAUUGGUUUUGCUUCACACUGUCUUGAUCAAGAGUGUAUGAAGCUUUUGAGAAUUGUGGUUGCCCUCCAUUGAUGAAGCUCUUGUUGGCACCAUAAAUUGGUUUUGCUUCACACUGUCUUGAUCAAGAGUGUGAAGCUUUUGAGAAUUGUGGUUGAACUCCUUUGAUGAAGCUAAUGUGUUCACCUCAUCCCCCUCCAUUUUUUUUCUUUUUCUUUUUUUUUUGAGGGGGAGAGAGGGUGCUGUAAGUUUGAAAUUUGAAAACUCCCUAGCUUGUGUGGAAGUUUGAAGAUUUUCCAUGUGGGGUUUUCUCAUGGUUUGAAUUUUGAAUUUUGAAUUUCUUUGGCCAUGUUGAACCCUAUAAGAAUGAUAAGUUUCCACUCUUUUCAUUGUCUUCAUUUGCUCAUUUUGUAGUGAUUUUUAGAGACAGUGUGCUCUUAUAGUUGAGAGGGAUUCCGCAAUUGCUUUGCACCAUCUUCAGGUUGGUAGUCUUCUCCAGUAGAUCACAUGCUUUCAUUCUUGUUGAAUUGUUUGACUGUUCAUGUAUUUGGUUGAGAAUAUAAUGAACUGAUUGAGCUUUUCUCCAUGCCCUAGGAACUUCCUUAUAUUUUGAUUUUUCAUGUGGUGAUAGAGUUUGUUUCUGUUUGUUGCAGAUGUCAGAGUCUGGAAGUCCUAGUGAUAAGGGCUCCCUUAACUCUAACUCUAGGUUUGAGCUUGCAAUGUUGGAGUCUUCAGGGCCUUUGUUAGAGUCAUGUACAAAAAAUUCGAGAUUGGGUGAUCUUCACAGUUAUCAAGCCUUCUUCAUGUCAGUGGGUGAAGGGGUUGUUUGUAAUGCCAUACCUAUAUUUCGUCUGAGUUCACAACAGACCAUUUAGUGCAAAAAUUGUUAGAUAGCGAAAAGCAGCUUAAGGCCCUAAGGCAGUCAUGUAGUAUCCCCCGUAGUGUAGGAAUGCGUUUGGUGCAUUAUGAAGAAUUAUCCUCUGAACCUCCCAAGGGUCAUGUUAUGUUCUAUACCCAGAUAUUAUUGACUUUAAGGGUGAAGCUGCCUUUGCACCCGUGGUAGCAAUGGAUGCUGUCUUUCAUUGGAUAUGCGCUUGGGCAACUCUACCUUGGUUUUUGGGAUACCUUAAUCGAGUUUUAUAUUAUUUGGAUGGAAUGUGGAUUAGGUGAGCCUUCCUUUCAUCAGUGGUGCUACUGCUAUAAGAUGAGCCCGGUGAAAGCAUGCACCGGGUAUGCCGAGUAUGCAUGUCGGAGUGAGAGAGAGCAUAUUGUCUUUGGUAAGAAAAAGGCGUACUGCACUUGUUAAAUUGUUGGUGCUUUCUUUAUAAUGAUUGGGAGUAUGCUAAGGGUGUCACACCUGAGCGACGUGUUCCUACUCACUUCCAGACUGUAGGUUGUACUGUAUCCAUUGUUUGCAUUAUUUGCUGUUUGUUGUGAUUUUCUCUUGCUUCUAACAUUUUUUUUCGUGUAGUGACGCGAAUGACCAUCAAGCUGUUCGAACGGAAGCUAACUGACGUAGAGAAUGUGUUGAGGGUGCCCAAAGAGGAUAGACAUUUAGGCAAACUACGACCCUUAUUUCGAAAGUACGGUUUCCAAACCCUAGUGUCGGAGUGCCAGAGACGAGCAAGUAAGUUGUAUCUUUUAUUUCACUCCUUUUUUCUUUACAAAGUUGCAUUCCUUACUUUGAUUGUUCUUAUUCAGUGAAGAAAGUGGGCAAGAAAGGGAAAACUGGCGCCAAGAAAGGGAAAACACCAAUGUUAAUUCUCGUAAACGACAUUUUGUUUCACAAGGGAGCUCGUAAGCAUCGGGUGAGGCCAGCCCCUAAACCUAAGUCGCAAGAGGAGGUCAUCAAGAUUGCUACCUCAAAGAAGGCUGAAGCUGAGGUCAUCGGGUGUGCUACUGCCAUAGUUGUAGAGGAGAAGAGACAAUUGUUGCCUCUUCUUCCUACCAUCAAUCCUAUCUUUCCUCCAACCAUGGAGUCUGCUGACCAAGAAGGUGACCCUAACUUCAGCCGUAAGAGGAAGUACAAGCAAGAGGUUGGCAGCAUUCAUUGGAAGGACUUGAAGGUUGCCAUGCAGCCAAGUAGUUUUAGGUAUAUUAAUAAUUGCCUGGUAGGAAGUUCAUCCACUGUUAAUGAGCUUGGCGAGCCGCUAAAUGCGAAUGAAUCAGAUCGUGACCGGAUGAUGAAGCUAUCUUCUUAUGUAAGUGUUACUCUGUCAUUUCUUUACUUUCUCCCCUCGUUUUCCUGAUAGUGACGAUCAUCUUGUCAUAUAGGUCAUGACCGAGUACGAUGACAGAUUACGAGAGGUCGAGCGAUACAAGGCAAAGUUUAAAGAGAAUAAGCAGCUUGUGAAUGACGCCAGAAAAACGUGCAAAGCUUUGGCUGAUGCCAUCCGCCUUAAGGAUCAAAACUUUGAGAGUUUGAAGAGGCGGAAUGGUGAGAACGUGAGGCUCAAGAAACAAUUGGAAGCGACUAAGGAACAGUUGGAGACAACCAUCCUUGAGGUUUCCAAGGUUAAAGGGGAGUUGGAUAGUGCCUUGGUUGAGGUUUCUGGGCUGAAGAGGAGUAUCAUAACUGAGAGGGAUGCUGCCGUGCAUGAGUUCUUAGGUUCCCAGGCCUUUCACGAUACCUUUAGACCUCAUUGCAUCCAGGCGGCUAAUUUUGACAAAAAGGAAAUUGAUGGUCGUCCUUGAGCGUUAUGACAAUGGAAGCAUUAUUCGAAGGUACUGUGAUGAGAUGGAUGAGUAUCGACAAAAAGGUGACGCCUUCGUCCUCGCAGUUGAUCUUAGUAGUGAUGAUGACUCUGAUAAUGAGGCUAGUAUCGGUGAGUAGUCUCAGGAGAGGGAGGAUGGUCAUGGAGAUGCUGAAGAAAGUGGUGAUGGCGAUGGGGUUGAAACGUAGAGUGAUAUUGUCAGGGGUUCGGCCUCAGAUAAGGAUGACUCGUAGUGCCCUCUUUUUAUGCAUGUACUCUGGAUGUACGAGUUUGUUGUUUGUGUGACAUAUGCCAUGUACUCUGGAUGUACUAGUUUGUUGUUUAUGUAGCAUGUGCCAUAUACUCUGGAUAUACUAGUUUGUUGUUUGUGUGGCACGUGCCAUGUACUCUAUAUGUACUAGUUUGUUGCUUGUAUGGCAUGUGCCAUGUUGUAAGCCUGAGAGCUUUUUAUUUAUAGAUGCUUACGACUUUGUGCCAUAUAGUUUGAUGUUAAUUACCAAGUAUUUGUACUAUCAUUGAUGAAUGCCUGGCUAUGUUUGAGCAAAUCCUUUGUUUGGAUAUAAGCCAUAACUUGGGUAAAAUUGAAUGAAUAUACUGUGGAGCUGUUCGUUUAUUUGUAUAGUCUUGUUGAAAUAUACUUAGACUUUAUUUCCUGUUGGGAGCAUUCAUGUUGAAGCUUUGAACCUAAGUGUUUUCAUUGCUAGGAAUGUAAGAGGAUUAGGACUGAGUUGUCUAAAUCACCUAUUUGUUGAAUUCAUGCCAAAUGGUCUUCGUUACAUAGGAUGUCGAACAGCUGAAGCUUAACACUUGUACAAUGUGAGUUUACUUGUAAUAGUACUUCAAGUGAUCAGCGUUCCAUAGAUGGCCAAUGAUCUUGCCAUCGGAGCUUAUAAGCUUGUAGGAGCCAAGGCGACUGAUGCCAACAACUUCAAAUGGUUUAUCCUAGUUUGGACUAAGUGUUCCUUCACUCGAGACUCCGUCUUAGAGUAAUAUUUUCUUCAAUACCCAGUCCCCCACUUUGAAAGAACGAGGUUUGACCCUUGAGUUAUAGUAGUUGGAGAUACGCUGCUUGUAGGCGACAUUCCUCAAGUGAGCCUGGUUUUUGUGUUCCUCGACUAGAUCUAAGUUGAGGGUAAGUUGUUUGUCAUUUUUGCUUUGCACGUAGUUCUGGACUCGGAACAUUCUUGCUCAAGCUCAACUGAGACAACUGCCUCUGCACCAAAGGCAAGUGAGAAUGGGGUUUCUCCUGUUGACAUUCAAUACGAAAUACAGUAUGACUAAAGAACUUGGGGUACAAAUUCUGGCCAACAACCUUUAGCCUUGUCCAAGCUGGUUUUCAAAGUUCGCUUGAUUAUUUUGUUGAUGGCUUCAACUUGUCCAUUAGACUAGGGAUGAGCUGGGGAGGCAAAACAUAAGUUGAUGUUGAACUUAGAGCAGAACAUCAUGAACUUAUUGUUGUCAAACUGUUGCCCGGUGUCAGUGAUUAUCGCAUUAGGAAUGUCGAAUCUGCAAAAGAGGUUAUUCCAUACGAAGUCUUUUAUUUUUGCCUCAGUAAUAGUUACCAAGGGUUCUACUUCGACCCACUUUGUGAAGUAGUUAACUGCAAUGAUUGCAUAUCAGACCUUGCCCUUCCCUGCAGGCAUUAGGCUGAUCAAAUCAAGUCAUCAUUGAGCGAAGGGCCAAGGGCUGAUUAUAGGAGUGAGCGGCUCGGGAGAGGAGUGAGGAAUGGUUGCGUAGCAUUGACACUUAUCACAUGAGCAGAAUAUUUUGAUGGCAUCUUGGUGGAGUGUUGACCAGUAAUAUCCUUGGCGAAAAGCCUUGUGUUUUAGGGAUCGAGAUCCAGCAUGAUCUCCGCAGACUCCUUCAUGUAUUUCCCUAAGGACAAUUUCCGCCUCCGCAGAUGUAAGGCAUCUUAGGUAUAGUAGGUUAAAACCCCGCUUGUAUGAGUUGGUCAUUUAUGAUCAAGUAACGGGUAGCUUUGUAUUGAAUCUGCUUAGCUUGGACUUGAUCAUUUGGGAAGGUGCCAUACGCAAGGAAUUUAUAAAUCGGGGUAAUCCAACUAUCCCUUUAUUGUAAGUUGCACACUUCCGCGGCCAUGGUGCUUGGUGCUGCCAACAAUUCGACCUGAAUUUUUCUCCUAAUUUUGUCUUCCACUGUUGAGGCGAGGCGAGCCAAAGUGUCUGCAUGACUGUUUAUCGCUCAAGGAACUUCGGUGAUCUGGUAGUGGAAGUGCUUAAGCAACAGUUGUGUUUGUUCAAGAUAUGCUGCCAUUGAGCUAUCCUUAACGUCAAAGGUGUUGGUGACUUGGUUAACUACCAAUUGGGAGUCACUGAAGAUAUCAAUUAACCUCGAGGUGUUUGGCCAAACGUAAGCCUGCUAGGAGAGAUUCAUAUUCGGCCUCGUUGUUCGACGCCUUGAAUUUGAAACGAAGAGCAUACUCCAUCGCCACUUUGUCAAGGUAGUAAGGACUAGUCCUGCUCCACAACCAUGUUGGUUGGACAAGCCAUCAACAUAUAGACUCCAUGCUAGGGUUGUUGGUUCUAUUUUAUGAGCUUUCGAGGGUAACAAAGCCACUGCUUUAGGCGUAGAAGCAAUGUCAAUUGGAUAUGUGAAGUCGGCGAUGAAGUCUACCACUGGUUAGCCCUUCUCAGCUGGCUUUGGUUGGUAGGAGAUGUUAAACUCACUCAAUGCUAUCGCCCAUUUGAUCAUUUGCCCCGAAGUGUCAAGACUUUGAAGUAUCUGUCGAAGAUGAUGAUUGGUAAGCACGAUGAUGGAGUUUGCUUGGAAGUAAAGGUGAAGUUUUUUAGUAGACAUGACCAAUGUUAGAGCCAAUUUCUCAAUGUUGAAGUAUCGUGUCUCCGUAUCUUGUAAGGUCUUGCUAGUGUAGUAGACAUACUGUUCGACAUUACCAUCAUUUCAAAUGAGAACAGAACUUACUACUGAAGCCGAUACCGAUAGAUAAAUAAUGAGAGUGUCACUAACCUCUGGUUUGGAGAGCAAAUGAGCUUUACUCAUGUAGUCCUUGAGGUUCUUGAAUGCCUCAGCACAUUCAUCAGUCCAUGUAAUGUGCUUCUUAAUUCCCUUAAGUGCUUUGAAGAAAUGAGCACAUCUGUUUGUGGCCUUAGAGAUGAACCUGGUUAAGGCUAUCACCUUGUUAGUAAGGCUUUAGAUGUAUUUUGAAGUUAUCGGUUCCUUCAUGUUGAGGAUUGCUUUGAUGUUCUUGGGAUAGCUUUAAUGCCUCGUUGGCUAAUCAUGAAGCCUAAGAAUUUGCCAGAGCCUACGCCAAAAGCACAUUCGUUGGGGUUCAACCUCAUUCGAUACCUCUUCAGAAUGGUGAAAGUUUCAAAUAGGUUGGUGAUGUGUUGGUCAGCAUGUUUACUCUUGACUAACAUAUCAUCAAUGUAAACUUCCAUGCUCUUCCCAAUCUGUUCGGCGAACAUCGAAUUGACUAGUCUAUGAAAAGUCUUCCCUGCAUUCUUUAGGCCGAAUGACAUGACUUUAUAGCAAUAUAGUCCCCUGUCAAUAGUGAAAGCUAUGUUCUUGGUCUGAAGGGUUCAUGAGGAUUUGAUUGUAUCCUCAGUAAGCAUCCAUGAAGUUCAGGAGUUCACACCCUACUGUAGAGUCUAUAAGUCUGUCAAUGAGAGGAAGAGGAAAGCUAUCCUUCAAGCAUCCUUUGUUUAGGUCGGUGUAGUCGACACAUAUUCUCCACCAGGCCUUUUGGAGCAGAAGACUUUCUUUGGUUGGAUUUUUUUCUUAACAAAGACCACAUUUGCUACCCAUGUUGGGUAAUUGACUUCGCGGAUAAAGCCUAUGCCUUUGAGUUUUCAACUUCUGCCUUCAUUGCUUCGUAUUGUUCAAUGUCAUAAGAUCUUCGCUUAUGUCUCACCAGCUUGUUCUUAGGGUCAAUACUCAAACGAUGACAUGAUAUUGGGAGAGAUGUCUGGCAUGUCCUCGUAUGACCAGGCGAAGACCUUAGUGUUCUCUUGCAAAAAAGAAAUCAAUGCUAACUAAAUGGGUGGUGACAAAGUGGUGCCAAUCUUCACCAUACGAUCUGGAUAAUCUUUUGAGAUAGAAACCUUCUCCAGCUCUUCAGCAGGUUGUGUUUGCUGGGUGAAAGAGUCAUCUCGAGGAUCGUCGGGGUUGACUGUUGCUAUUGUGAAGAUCCAAGUUGGCUUCAUCCGGCUAGUCUUUAUGACUUGGUCAUGUAUAGAAAAGGUUUCCUUGGGCACAGGCAGGUGAUGUUGCUUGACCGAAGUGUUGUAACAUGACCAUGCACUAAAUUGAUCUCCUCUGAUGUAACCAUUGCCAUAGGAGGUUGGAAAUUUCAUCAACAACAUAUGUGUGGAUACCAUAGCCUUGAGAUCAUUGAUGUUUGUGCGUCCAAAGAUAACAUUGUAUGCCGUUGGGCAAUCAACCACCAAGAAGUUAGUGGUAAUGGUAGCUGUGUGAGGGUCUGUACCAAUGGUGAAAGGUAAGUGUAUGCUCCCUAAAGGUUGCACGAUAUCACCGGAGAAGCUUAUCAGAGGAGAAAUCGAGCGAUCGAGUAAGUGUUUAGCUACAUUAAGUGCCCUGAAAGCUUUAACAAACAUGAUACUGACCGAAACCCCUGUGUCUACCAGGAUUCGUCGUACUUAAAAGUUGGGUAUGUGAGCCUCCACGAUCAAUAAGUCGUUGUGAAGGUAGAUGAUACCUAUUUCUUCCUCAGGGUAGAAACAUAUUGGAUCCCAGUUAGGCUUUUGAUACUUGCCUCCUUUGAUGUCUUCCACGUGAAACACUUGGUGGCCUAGCCUUAAAGCUCAUUUGCUGUUUUUCAUGGCCCUAUUAGAAGAUUCAGAUAUGGGUGUGCCGCCGCUUAUGGAAUAUAUCAUAUUCACUUAGCGUUGGUUACGGUUAUCCCUUGAAGGGUGAAAGAGGAAUUGAUCAAUUUUUUCUUCAUGCGCCAAAGCUUCAAUAUGAUCAAGAAGGGUGAUACACUUCUCGCCGUCAUGGCCGUUAUGCUCGUGGUAGCAGCAAAACGUGCCGUGUUCUUCGUGGGCUUAUAACCUGACUACCUCGGCAUUGGCUUCGGUAUCAGGUGUGUUAUGUUGGGGUAAAUGACAACGCAUGUGGCGUUCAAAUGUGUGUAUGUCUCAUACCUCGGGGUAGGGCCUGUCCUGACACGUGUUUAGCCCACUGUGUUGACUGCUUGAGGGCGGGCAUUAUCGUGGCGAUACCCUUGGUUAUCACGAUAGUGUCCCUUACUUCUUUACUCAAAUGAGACUGGUGAGGAUGGAAAUCUUUCCUUUUGCCCUGAAAUUGAUAUGUCUAUUGACUUAGCGAAGUAUUAUGUAAGGUAAGGGGAGGCACCGCUGCCGUUUGGAAGGUCGAGGUCUUCUCAUUUGGUUGGAUUUGGCUUCUACUCCCUACUUGCUGAUAAAGGGUGGCUGUGGAGGGUUUCCCUUGUUAUGUCUUUGCCUUGGCGGAGGCUUAGUUGUAAGCCUGUGCCAUGACCUUAGAGUAAGUCUUCCAAGUGUUGUCAUUGAUCAUGUACUUGAAGAAACAAUCACGUAGGCCUUGAUGGUAGUCUUGUCAUCUGCCUCAGCGCAGCGAGAAUACUUAUGGCUGAAACGACCGGCAUACUCUCAUAGUGACUCAUCCGACUUCUGUCGAAUAGUGUACAAGUCAUCCGUAGAGUGUAAGCGAUCGGUCUGGAAAAUGUGUUGAGAAACAAAUAGUUUCCUCAAUUCCUCAAAUGAGUCUACCGUCUCAGUUAGAAGACGGCAAUACCAGUUUAAAGCUUCGCCAGAGAGGGUGGAAGGGAAGAGAAGACAUCGUUCUUCGUCGGUGUGCAUCCGAUAUGCCAUGGUAGACUCAAAGAGGUUAAAGUGUUCAAUCAGGUCCUCCUUUCCAGUAUAGGGUUGCAAGCCAAGCUUCUGCUUUGUCUUUGCUUUAAGGGGGUGUCGAGGAUCCUCCUUGUAAGAGGGCCAGGCCUAGGUUGGUUCCAAUCAGGUAUCUCAGCUUGUCGUUCGGCCUUCAACUUGUUUACUUCCUUAAGGAGUUGUAGGACAAAAGGGUCCUGAGUGGAGUCAUGUACCAUUGGAGCUUUCUGUCGUAAAUCUCCAUCUCCUCUUGGAAGUAGGAAGGUUUGAUUAAGAGCAUGUGAUUUUUUCUUGGACUCGCUGUACUGACUUCCAAGGUUUGUCUGUCGAAACAUCUCUAAAUCCCCUAUACCUUCGUGUUUCUCUAGGACUUGUUGCCCCUUCCCCAAAUUGGUAGCUGGCCUGGGACAUGGGAGGGGACCGAGUAUUUCAGAAACCCUUGGGUCAUGGAUCUUUAAGCUUACAUGGAAGAGAUUGUCUCGACGUUGCUUUAGGAAGUCUCGACAAUCGUGAAAGAUGGUUUUCCAUCCUUCCAUUCAUUCUGUAAGGAGGUGCCUUCCUCCACUCCUCCUGCUUCGGGUCGAAAUAGCUGGGUUAAGAGAAGUCUCAUGUUGGUCACCAUUUCGAUGAGUAGCUCGCUCUUCAACAGGAAUACCCAUGUCGAGGGCAAAUGACCCUCCGUGUUGGGAGGCACCCAGUUGAUGGUUGAUUUCCACAGGGGUGAUGAGCUCAUGUGUUUUAGUAUAUCUAGCCUCAUGGAGCAUUUCAAAGACCUUCUUAUACUGCUCUUGGAGGAUCUCAUUCUUCAUCACCAUCUUGGUGUUCUGAGACUCCAGCUUAUCGACUUUAGCCUGUAGAGCAAACUUCUUUUGUUCAUUCUUUCGCUACUUCGCACCAGGUGCGAAAGGGGUGUCGUUCUACGUGUUGUGGCUUCCUUCGCUCCCCAUGUUGGCGAGGGAUGCCUGGUCAAAAGAGAGUGUACGAAUGGUGGAAACCAGCUUGACAAAGCUGAAAAGAGUAGGAAUAAGUGCGAUUCCCACAUACGAUGCCAAAUGUUGAUGCACAAAAUCAGUGGGGACUUUGGUACAACAGAAAGUGCUAAGUUUGUGACCUUCACUAGAUUGCUCCGGUCACUAAUGUGGAUAAGUAUGUAAAUGGAUAGAGAUAGGGAAGCAAACACAAGAUGUAUGUGGUUCACCCAGAUUGGCUACGUCUACAAAGUAGAGGAGUUCUCAUUAAUUGUGAAAGGUUUACAUAAGUAAAUAGGUUCAAACUCUCAUUUAGUGAGUACUAAUGAAUGAUUUAGUACAAAUGACAUUAGGAAAUAUUGUGGCAGAAUGAUCUCCUUUUAUAGAAGAAAGUUUCUAGCUUUGUUCUGACAUUGACACAUGUCGUGUUGUGAUUGGCUUCUGAUGUUGACACGUGUCGUGCUAUGAUUGGCUUCUGAUGUCAACAUGUGUCGCGCUGUAAUUAGCCUUCUAGUUGAAGGGAAACUCUUCUGGAUCCUUGACGGUAUAAGGUUGACCGAUGAUCGGUAGUUUCGGAUUGGUCAAGUAUGAUACAAACAUGCUUGAAUAAAUAAACAACAAGGAUAUGAGAGUUGUUUAACCAAACUAAAGGUCUCCUAAAUUAGGCAUGUUCUACCCCUCCAAUGAUGUUUAACCAACCUAAAGGUGUCGCCAGUUGUUGACACAAUGAUAUUUAACCAAAUUGAAUAUUUGCCAACGGGGAGGGGUUAAUGAGUAAUUAGGAUUUUUUUUAGGUUGUGGAGGGUUUCUCAUAAAAGGGUUGAUUUGUGUGUGAGCGACUACAACUGAGGAAGGAAUGCCUCUAGACCUAGGGCUCUAAAACCUAAACACAAGGUUGCUUAAUUCACUACGAAUUUCAAGAUAUUUUGCCCCAGGUUCGGCAACUUCAACUAUAUCCUUGAAAAUAUAAGUAGCCGAAUCGGUAUUAGGCUAUAAGGACAAAGAUAUUCAAAGGAAAUGAGAUCUUUAUGGUGAAUGUUGUUCAGCAGUCUGAAUGUCGAACUUCCAAAUGCACUUGCAAGUAACUACUCAUAGAACAUCUCACUUCGCUGGGGGAGCUAAUAAAGUGACCGCUUUCAGCGAAAGUAUCAAAGACUCUUCAUUGGUUGAGACUUGGAGGUAGCCAACUAAACCAAAAGUAGUACUAUUUAACCAAAUUGAAGGUACUCCUAGGCCGACUAGUUCAAUGGCUCCAAUGACUUUUACCUGAACUAAAUAUGUUUCCGAUUAGCCAACCCAAUGAUGUUGCAACGAAGUAAACAUGUACCGACGGAGGGAUUAGGAUAAUUGAUAUUUUUUUAGGGUUGUGAGAAAAGUUUCGAACAGAGCAAGGUUAUUUUCGUAGAGCGUUUGAGUUGUUUGUUGAGUUGAAGGAGAAUUUUCACGUUGCAGAGCCUCUCAUAUUUAUAGGACGACAAUACUUUAGCUAACAAGUUCCGAAACCAAUUCGAACUGCAGCACGCUCUUGGAGCUUUAUCCCAUUUUACUUGCUAAAUAUCUGAUGCUUAAGUCCAGAUAACAUCUCAUGAGAAACAAUUCUCAUUUGGGGUCAUGUGCAUGAUGAGGCCUACUUCCCUCCUAAGAUGGGACUCUAUCAUUAGUUACAUGGAAGAUAUCAUAUCCCUUGCCCCUACAUGUUGCAUGCAUAUCCACAUAAGUUACAAAUAACAAACCUAUAUGAUGUGCUUCUCACCGUGCCCAUCUUAAUAGUCAUUUAUCUUCUUUGAAUUUGUAGAAUUGGAAAGCAAUCACAUUGCCCAUAAACCUCAAAUGCAGCUUGUGCUUCAAAAGAAAGUCCAUAUAUUGGAAGUCUUGGACAAGGUUGUCUUUUAUUUUUCUUGUGUUUAGCACUUCUUAUAUAGUGGUCAACUUCUUAAUUCAAGGAGCUGCUGUUAGCUUUCCUAAACCUACUGUUAGCUUUCCUAAAGCUGCUGUCAGCUUUCCUAAAGCUGCUGUCAGCUUUCCUAAAGCCACUCAUUAUGGCAUAAAUUAAGGAAGAAGGGAUAGCCUCCUUAUAUUUGCCUGUAGAGUUACGUUGCAGAUAAGAAAAAUAAAUACAAAACAAUCUUUAAAAAGCAAUAUGGUAUCAGAGCAGGGAAAAUAACCUGCUUCUGCAUUACUAUCAUCCGAUCUUAUUCAACCUUCAAUAUGGCGAAAGAAAAUCCUUCUGGGUCUGAAGCUGAAAGUUCACAGGUCAUUUCCUCCUUGAAUGUGUCUGAGAUGGAUGUCAACCCUAAUCAAAGAUUAAGCUCAGUCUUGUUGAAUGAGUUUAAUUACUUGCCUUGGUCAAGAGAAGUAAGUCUUGCCCUAGGUGGAAGGUCUAAGUUAGGGUUCAUAAAUGGAAGCAUCGAAGUUCCUGAUGCUUCCUCUUCAACUUAUGAAACCUGGCUUUGCAAAGAUCAGCUAGUUAUGUCAUGGCUCUUAAAUUCCAUGAAACGUAAACUAGCUUAAAUAUUCAGUUAUUCUGAAUCAUCAUUCAAGCUAUGGGAGACUGUCAAGGAAAUGUAUAGCAGUGAGAACAAUGCUGCACGUAUGUUUCAAUUAAAGAAUGACAUUUCCAACCUGCAACAAGAAGGAAAGCCCUUUGUACAACUUUUAGGCAGCAUGAAGAGCAUGUGGAUUGAGUUGGAAUUGUAUCGACCCCAUAUAACUAAAGCGUAUGUGCUAUUGAAGAAGGCAGAAGAAGACAAGAUAUUCCAACUCUUGUCAAGUCUCGAUGCAGAAUAUGAAGACCUACGAAGCCACAUACUCAUGAACACUGAACUGCCUUCCUUCACCAGUGUAUGUGCAACAAUCCAGCAUGAAGAAGUGCGAAGGAAAAUCAUGAACAUUGGUACAAAGACCAAUGUAUCUGAAGCUAGAGCCUAUCUAACCAACGAAAGAAAAUACAAAGGGAAGAAUCCACACUUGAAGUGCCAACACUGCAACUAUACCGGUCAUGUUAAGGAGACAUGCUGGAUUUUACAUCAAGAAUUAAAACCUGGUUUUAUGAAGGACAACAAGGGCUUUCAGAAGCUGAACCAAGCUACACACAGAGCCAACCAUGCAUCUGCCUCAACCUCAAAUAGGUCUGACACACUCAAAAGCUUCAUAGCAAAUCCGGCUGCACUCAUAAAUGAGUUUACAGCGUAUCUUUGAAGUAAGAAAUGAGGGAAUGAAAGUGAUCAAACGGUCAGUUUUGAAGAUGGAAACUCAACAGCUUUGCUAGGCAAGUUUGCUGGUUUCCUGGCAGACACCGAACACAUACCUUAAGAAGACUUGCAAUGUAUCAUGAAUUCAUUCAAAACUGCUCUUAAUGUAAAUAUGUUGCAUGAUUUUUGGGUUGUUGAUUCGAGUGCCACAUAUCAUAUGACCAACCAAGUUUCUACGUUUCAAAAAUUAUCAAAACCUUCUCAAGUGUUAACUGCAAAUGGUGAAAGUGCCGAGGUUUUAGGAAAGGGAAAAAUCAACUUAAUGUCGGAAAAAAUUGAGUCAAUGGCCUUAUAUGUUCCUUCUUUUCCUUUCCAACUCCUAUCUGUGAGAAAAAUCACCAAUACCUUGAAUUGUUUAGCCAUAUUCUCUUCUCACAAUGUCAUUUUUCAAGAUUGUGUCACCAAGAAGACGAUCGGUGAAAGGUUUUAUCUAGAUGGUCUCUAUUACAUAUCAAGGAGCAGUUCCAAAGGGUUUCAAGCCAAGUCCAAUUCAUCCCAAAAUAAUCAAUUGUGGCAUCAACGUCUAGCUCAUCCUUCUCAACCUAUUUUGUCUUCUUUGUUUCCAAACUUAGGGAAAGUUUUAAUUCCAUGUGAAACUUGUCAUUUAUCUAAGGCCACUAGAUUGCCUUUUAACUCAUCCUUAUCUAGGGCCAGUAAGUUGUUUGAACUUGUUCACUCAGAUGUAUGGGGACCAACGUGUGAAUCUUUUGACGGUUAUAAAUAUUAUGUAAUAUUUGUUGAUGAUUUCUCUAGAACCACAUGGUUGUACCUUUUAAAGUCUAAGAGUGAAGUGAUGGAAGUGUUUAAGGAUUUUAAUAAUCUUGUUAAGAACCAUUUCUCCUCUCAAAUUCAAACUUUAAGAUCUGACAAUGGCACCAAAUACAUGUCCCAUAUCAUGACACAAUAUUUGAGCAAUCAUGGCAUCAUGCAUCAAACAAGUUGUGUUGGCACACCUCAACAAAAUGGUGUAGCCAAAAGAAAAAAUUGUGACAUCCUUGAAAAAACUAGAGCAUUAAUGUUACAAAUGAAUGUACCAAAAAGAUUUUGGUCCCAAGGAGUCAUGGCUGCUGUCUACAUCAUCAAUAGACUUCCUAGCCGAGUCUUAGAUUUUAAAUCUCCUCUUGAGGUCAUGAAAGGAAGGAAAAUUGACAUUUCACAUCUUACAGUCUUUGGUUGUGUUUGCUUUACUCAUGUUCAACCACAUCAUCGAGAUAAAUUGGAUCCUAGAGCUCUUAAAUGUAUUUUUCUUGGUUAUUCAUCAACAAAAAAGGGAUAUAAGUGUUAUGAUCCUCAGCUAAGAAAAAUGAUUGUAUCUAAAGAUGUUCAAUUCCAUGAAACUAAUCAUUUUUUCAACAAGUCCUUUGAAACCAUAAGUCAGGGGGAGUGUAUCUUUGAUGUGUUUCCUCUACCAAGAAUCGGGCUCAAUAAUGCUUCAACAAGAAAAUGUUCCAAUAAUGAUGAACCACAUGCACCACCCACUGAAGGUAACAAUGAAGGUAUUCAUCCUGAUGGUUUUAUGCUUGAUGAUGACCGCGACAACCAAGAUAAUCUUCAAAGUGUGGCUGAAAAUUUGAACGAGUGUGAGACAACUGUACCAGCACCACGACGCAAUCCUAUGCAUAAUAGACAACCUCCUACAAGGUUUCAAGAUUUUGUCACAUACAAUCCCAAGCAUCCAAUCUCCAAUUAUGUGUCGUAUCAAAAGUUGACUCCAUCUCAUGCUGCAUUUCUUAGCACCAUCUCAAGUCACAGUGAGCCACAAAACUUUCAUGAGGCUAACAACCAAGAUGUGUGGAAAGAAGCAAUGAGAGAAGAACUCAAAACAUUAGACCUACACAAAACCUGGAGCAUUACCAAACUUCCAAAAGGUAAAAAGGCAGUAGGUUGCAAAUGGAUCUAUAAGAUCAAGUUUAAUUCAGAUGGUUCAAUUGAGAGGCAUAAAGGGCUGGUGGCUCGGGGAUUCACACAAACAUUUGAGAUGGAUUACAAAGAAACUUUUGCACCUGUUGCAAAAAUGAACUCAAUUAGGGUUCUAUUAUCCGUUGUUGUUAAUAAGGGUUGGUCCAUGUACCAAAUGGAUGUGAAGAACGCCUUUCUACAUGGUGAUCUUGAAGAAGAGGUCUAUAUGAAAUUGCCACCAGGGCAUCCUUAAAGCCAUGAGCAUGAUUUAGUGUGUAAAUUGCACAAAUCAAUUUAUGGACUGAAGAAAUCUCCACGAGCUUGGUAUGCCAAACUAAGUUCAGUGCUUAAUAGCGUUGAUUUCACAAGAAGCAAUGCAGAUUCAUCAUUGUUUGUUCGCACUGGAGCUGUGGGUAAAUUGGUUGUGUUAAUAUAUGUGGAUAACUUAAUAAUUACAGGUGAUAAUGCUGAAGAGAUUUCCAAACUCAUACAGUCACUUCAAUAAAGAUUUGCAAUUAAACAUCUUGAGGUGUUGAAGUACUUUCUUGGAAUAGAGAUGGCAACUUCUCACAAGGGACUAUUUCUUAAUCAAUGCAAAUACAUCCUGGACCUACUCAAGGACGCUAAAAUGAGUGAUGCUAAGCCUGCAAAUACUCCUCUCGAUAGCAAGCUCAAACUUGACUUGGGGGGCAUGCGACUCUCGGAUAUCAGCCACUAUCAGAGACUGGUUGGUAAGUUAAUCUAUCUAACAAUCACCAGGCAUGACAUCACAUAUUCAGUGAGUAUCGCCAGUCAAUUCAUGCACUCUCCCACAAUUGAUCAUUUGAACCUUGUCAAAAGGAUCUUACGUUACUUAAAAGGGUCCGUGGGUCGUGGCAUUAUCUUGAAGAAGAAUGAAAACACCCAAAUCAUGGGGUACUGCGAUGCGGAUUGGGCAAGAAAUGCAAUCGAUCGCAAGUCCACAACUGGUUACUGUAUCUUUGUCGGUGGAAACUUGGUCACGUGGAAGAGCAAAAAACAAACUAUCAUCGCAAGAUCAAGUGCCGAAGCUGAAUAUCGUGCAAUGGCAUCAAUCGCGUAUGAGCUGAUAUGGCUAAAGGGACUUCUAUGCGACUUAGGUGUGUUUACGACUCAACCUAUGAACUUAUUUUGUGACAACCAAGCAGCCAUGCACAUAGCAUCAAACACAGUGUUCCACGAGAGGACAAAACACAUUAAAGUAGAUUGUCACUAUGUACGUGAACAAGUACAGUCGCAGGUGAUUCAGACGCAUUAUACAAGAAGCUCCGAUCAAUUGGCCGAUAUAUUCACCAAACCCUUGGUCUCUCAUCAGUUUCAAAGGCUUCUGUCCAAGCUUGGAUCCGUCAAUCUUCUGGAUCCAAGUUGAGGGGGAGUAUUGGAAGUCUUGGACAAGGCUGUCUUUUAUUUUUCUUGUGUUUAGCAUUUCUUGUAUAGUGGUCAACUUCUUAAUUCAAGGAGCUGUUGUUAGCUUUCCUAAAGCUGACCUAAAGCUGCUGUCAGCUUUCCUAAAGCUGAUGUUAGCUUUCCUAAAGCCACUCAUUAUGGCAUAAAUUAAGGAAUGAGGGAUAGCCUCCCUAUAUUUGGUUGUAGUGUUACGUUGCAGAUAAGAAAAAUAAAUACAAAACAAUCUUUGAAAAGCAAUACCAUAACUCCAGGAGCUUUAUUUCUCCCCCGAGUCCAUCGUCAGUGAAACCGUGGUACACUAAAUGGAAAGAGGAUUCUUUUCGGAUCCUUUUGGUGGGGAUCAUAGAGAUCCUCAUAUCUUAACCGUUUGUCAGAUACUAUUUAUGUUUAAUUUUAAAUAAAAAAAUUCAAAUGAUUUCUAAUCGCAUGAUGUAUGAUGAAUGAUUAAGAUAUAAGAUUUUCACUAUUUGAAUCCGGAUAAGAUCCAAAUCCUGCUAAAGGAUAGGACGAGAUAAAAUUGUAUUGUGUUAGAGAAAGAGUCUGUCAGCUUUUGCUUUUGUUGCUGUCGAAAUAAUUUUAACAAAAACUCCAACAUAACUAUCAUGUAUAAUAAAACCAACGACAACAUCUUGAAGAAGUUAUUAAAAUCUCUUUAUUUGGGAGUUAUCCGACUGCUCAAAAUUUUGUUCAUUCAAUAGUUUUGAUUGCACGUGCGGGACAGAUGGGUCCAAACAAGUUUAUUCUAAAAGACAAAGAAAGAAACUGUGAAUAGCGCAUUCCCAAGGACAAAGAUAAUCUGCUCUUUCACUUUUCGUGCCCUCUCAUACGUUCUUGUUUUGUGUGAUCACGGUUAAGCCACGUCAACAUUUUAUAUUAUUUUUUUAUAGAGAUAAUAAGAUAAAAAUAAAUAGUAAUAUAAAAUAUUAACGUAACUUAUCCGUGACCACAUUAAUAGAAACGCACGAAAAAUAAGAGAGCAGACAAUCCUUGUCCCAUCCUUAACCGGUUUACUAUCGGUCACAAGUGAUCAUUUGCAUGUCUUACGAUGCUAAAAACAAACAAGAGUAAAUCAAAAAAACCCCAAAUUUUCAACAAUAUAGCGACGUAACAAUGCAUGGUUGCCUCUUGGUAUAUAAAGACAAACUACAGAAAAAAAUCUUGGAAUAUUCUCGAUCCCCAAACAUUAAAAAAACACGUCAUCCAUGACGAUAUCUGAAAAUUCAGAUUGCAACCAAAAUUUACAAUACAUCUUUUAGGGAUGUGGAUUCUCUCUCCUCCUAACAUCUCUUAUCUUUCCUCUUCUUCUAUUUGAAUGAUCACGGUUAAGUUAUGUCGUUAACAUCUUAUAUUGAUUGUUUUUAUAAAGACAAUAUGACAAAAAAAUAAAGUAUGAGGAGGGGAGGGAAGGGGAUGGAAAUACGAGGGGGGAGAAUCAUACUCUAAUUUUUAGCUUGUCUUUUGCUUGCAUAUCACGAAAAACACAUAUACACCUCACAGCAAAUGAAAUUUUAGCAUGUGUAUAUUCAUUAUGAAUACUACCAAAGAGUUCAAGAGGCUACAUGAAGGAUUUAACUAAGUUGAGCAGCUAAGCACUCAAAACUAGCUAAAGGGGAUGAAAGAAGGGGAAAAUGGUUAGGAUUAUGAUAAGUAAAUAUUGCAGUUCUUUUCUAAUGUCAUAAAAAAUAAAUACAAAAAUAGUUACGACUAUAAUAGGUAAAUAGUUCAUUGAUCAUUUUAUCGCGUAAACGACGGAUCCUUCGACACCUCAAUAAUCAAAUCUAAGCUAAAGGGGUAGAUGUUGUGAUUCUUCAUCAGUCCUAGCAAGGUUAAUGUGCCUAGAGGAAAAUAAUUUUUUUAUUUUGAAUGAAUGUUUUUAUUCUCGAGCAAUCUAUCUCCUACCUCCAAAUUUAUCAUAUUUUUUAUUUAUUCUUUCUAACUUACCUUAAAAAUAAUAACUCAUGUACUUCAAUUCAUUUCUUUGUACCAAAUGAGAUUGUAGUUACUUAAGAAAUGUUAAGGAAACUCUUUUAAAGUAUGACCUUUUAUGCACUUUACUGUUUCACAUCAAUUCUCGUAUCAACAUUUUAAAAUAUAAUUUUAAAAUAUAAGAUGACAAAUAAUCUAAAAAGGUUACUUUUGAGAAAGUUUAUUUAGCAUUUCUCAAAGGGGAAUCCAACUCGAUUACUAGGCACUAUAACUUGCGUAAAGGGGGAUGAAAAUGACUACUUAACAAGAAGAGGGCGAAGGAUAGUACCUUAUUAAGCCAUUAAGAUUACUGUUGUGUUUCUUUGAGCUCAUUUCGGAACAAAAGUGAACCUUUAUGGUGAGGUUGACGACUGUCAGUUCAUUCCAAUACCUUGGUCCUUGGUCGACACUCAAAUUAUUUUUUCCAAUUAAAUCCAAGUAAGUGACUAGACAGUAGAGUUCCUGCGGAAUUUUCUCUCUUAAUUUUCCUCUUUCUUUUUUUUUUUCAACAAGGGCUUUGGUUUCUUCUGUGAGAUAGAGGUUGUUGAUUGAUAGAUGUCUCUUACAUUUCUUUUGAGAGUAUUUGAUGCCAAUAAUUAUCCACUGAGGUUCUUUUUUGGAUAAAAUUUAUGGGGCCCCAAUUUAUCCAAUUUGAUAAAAGACUAACUGAAAUUAACAUUUGGUAUCUCUUGAAGGAUAAAUAUUUCAGUGUGUCAAAAACACGGUUAUGUAUAUCCAGUGUUAAUACAAAAGUGGUUGAAGUGUUUUUUCGAGGAUCUAACUACAUGUCUUAUGACAUUUUGUGUAUGUGUUUGGAUCCAAAAUUACACCAUCUGCCCAUCGAGACUGUUGAGUAAGCAUGGUUCUAGACCGUUGGAUAAGAAGUUAAGAUAAUUUUGUUUUGAGAUAAUGUUAUGGUUUUUAAUCAUAAUAAUUAUCUUUUGAUAAAUCAUCUUGAUUUUCUUAUACAAAAUAAAUGGGAUACAAAUCAUAGCCCCAACUCAGAAGCAAAAAGAACAAUCCAAAUUAAUUUGGAUUUGUUAGCAGUGCACCGUGUGAAGAGCAGCUUGGAUUGGGACUCCUAGCACUGAUGUGGUCAUGAUGGCUUUUGCAUUGCAGAUGAAAUAAGAAAAUAGUUGCGUGAUGCGGUAGAAGGUUAUUAUGCAUGCAUGGAUAGAUCAUUAAAAAGCCUAAAUAGGCCUAGCUUUUGGUGAUGAUGUGAUAAGCCUAGGAUUUGAUGGUCUUGAAUAGUGGUGAAAUAAGAAACCUAGGUAGGCUAGGCCUUUUUGCAUGGUGAUGGAAGUUAUCAAAUGAGUUUAAAGGCUUCUCAUGGAGGUUUUUUAUGAGAUAAGAAGCUUAAGUGGACUAGGUUUCUGAUGUGAUGUGAUAAAGCCUAGAUAGGCUUUAUUUUGUUUGAAAAGUCACGAAAUCUGAAGGAUAUGCCUUGGCAUUUGACACGGAUCAAUUUCAAUUCCGCGAGGUAGAGUUGCGGUUGGACUCUACAAAGUUAUCAAGCCGUGUGAAGCAAAAGACAGCCACUAUAAAUACAGAGUCGUAUGCAGCAUUGGGCCCUGCUCCAACUCAACACACAAACUGCUCUGCGCAAACCCUUGCUCUAUAUGAAACCUCUCAACAACCUUGAGAUUUUUAUUUUCCUUUUUCUCCAACACAUCUUCAGUUUCGAUAAACAGCACUGUGAAGAAAAUCGACUAACAUCUUUAGUUUGGAUAAACAGCACUGUUGCUGUAAAAUCAGCCGACCGCGAAACUACUUCAGUUUGGAUAAACAGCACUGCUACGAGGCCGACUGGUUAUCUAUCCAAGUCUCGGUCGAGAAGGAUUUUCAAAUUUUUAUUGGCAGAGGUCAUCUCAUUAGCCUUCUAGGUGAAGUGAGGUGUUACCAAGUUACUACAUUCGGCACACUGAGAGCCGAAUUUGAUAUUGAACUUCGUAGAACUAGCAUUCUUGUCUUCAGGCUCUAGAACCAUUCCUAGGAGAAGAGGAAGGUCCAUUCCCAGGUGGUGGGUGUUUUUGUUGCCUCUCUGGUGGAGCUCAGAGGUGAGAGGGAAGGUUUGUAGAGAAAGAGAGUGCGAGAGGUUUGAGAAAGGGAGAGAAGUGAGGAAGAAAGAAAGAUAGAGAGAGUGUGUACUAUGAGAGGGAGAACACAGGAGAGGGUAGAGAGGAAAGAGACCAGGAACCAAAAAGAAGGGGGGUCCCACCCGGCUCACUAUUUAAUAACCAAAAUAAUAUUUAAAAACGAGGGUGGAGUGUAACAUGGUCAAUGCAAACAUUACAGAUACAAAAAACCAAAGUCUUAUAGAGCUUCCUUAUACUAAUCACACAACAAAAAUUACGAACAACAAAACAUGAAAAAAAUGAAAAGGAUACGGCAAUGCAUCGUUGGUAGGAUCCAGACUAACAACUGCUAUUUUUCUGGUAACUAAAAAUGAUGAAAUGGUCAAUGCAAACAUUAUCGACAGAUUCAAAAACAAAAACUAAGGCCAAGGAAAAACUUGAAAACCAACAAAAACUCGAAAUCUUAUAGGAGUCCUAUCUUUCCACAGUUUUCCUUCUUCAAAAUAAGAAUAGAAACCUCUAAUUUGAGUGCCUACACAUAUAUACAUCGGAUAAAAAUCAAAAAUAAAAAAUUCGAAACACCACCAGAAAUAACAAAAAUGAUGAAAAAUAAACCAUAAAAAUUUUCAACAAAAAGUUUAAGACUUUAACUCACAGGAAAUCCUGUAACCAGUUGUAAGUGGAUGCACCCUCACUGGUGACCAAUUGCAAAGUGGCCCUUUUGCCCAGCUCUGUAACCAAUUGUAAAGUCGACUUUUUGCCCAGUUCACUACGGUUUCAUUUCAUUUAUUUUCAUUCGUAUGUAGAUAUAUUUGAAUCAUUGAUUGCUAUAUGAACUCUAGAAAGCCACGAAUGGGAGUUGGAGUAUUAAAGGACUCAACACUUACUAUUUAGUUUAAAUACUCUAUUUGCACGUCUGCAAGUAAGCUGAAUUCACAACCUAUGCCAAUUCAAGGUGUAGAGUUUCACCUUCUUCGGACCCAUAAAUGGUCGAAAAGUUCUAAAAUCAGCCAGAGAAAACUGGGAUCCUCAUCAGAAAAACCCACCAAGGUGCGCUUAUGGAACUCCUCGCCUUUUAAUCUGCAUUACCAGAACAAAAUGUAAAUUCACCAAUUAAAUGCGUAUAUCAAUUUCAUAAUGUAGUUUAUUACAAAGAUUAAGAAGCGAAAAUUACCAUAGCAGUAGUGGCAGCUCCAAAAAGGGCAAUGAGGGAUGGCACAGCUACUUGGCCAACUUAUCUGGCUAGGACUUCAAACACCAAAACCCCGUACAAUGCACAAAAGGAUGCUGCAAAAGAAUUAACAAAAGAAUAAUGAUCGCAAGAAACAGUUCAGUAUAACUUUAAAAACUUUGGGAAGUUGAUGGGGGCAUAAUCAUCAUAUACCAAUUGAUUCAUGUAUCGUGACCAUCCAUCCAAGCAAAGGCAUCUACAUACACUGCGGUAUGGUAGAUAUUUUAUGUGCUCCAGAUUCAUUAUCUGCAAAAUAUGCAUCUAUCGAACAACAUAGUAAGUCUUUAUCUUAACGGAAAAAAAGAAAUUACAAAAUUUAAACUUCGAUCUAAAAGUUAUUCAUUAAUUUCUUUAUAUAUAAGAAAUUAUUGCACAAAAUGAAUGUAUCCAGUUCACCACAGAGUAGUAAUCGAUUCUAAUUUGAUCUACAUGAUCGAAUAUGUGUGUGUGUACAUAUAUAUAUAUCUGCAUGUAUAUAUAUAGCCAUUGUAUGAAAAGCGCUAACAGAUUAAAGUGAUCUCUUAAAACUCGAUAUGGAGCAUCGUUCUCUUCCCAUGUUUGUAGGAUAUAUUACAUGGUUCCACUUCAAGCAUUCUGGCCAACAGCUAUGCGGUCCAUUAGACAAAUUAGAUGGUUUAGUAGGUCCUACAUCGUCAAUCUCUAGCCCUAUAUCAAUAUUGUGUAGUGGGGAACCUUUAUUUGAAUCAAGCAAUUCAUAGAUACAAAAAUUACUUAUAAAAUAACUUUGAAAGUAAGUAAAAAAAAUAUGUUCUAUGCCUAUUGCUUUUGCCGAACUAAAAAAAAAGUGGGAAAUGCUUGAAAUUGGCCAGAAAAAACUCGCAUCUUCAUCGGAAAACCCACCGCAAGCUGGGCUUAUUGUACUCUUCGAUAGAGGGGUAAAUUCGAACAUAAAAAGCUCGAGUCUUGUUGUUAGGACUCUUCUGAGUCCCGGGAGAACUGCGAGAGGAAAGAGAGAGAAGGGAUAAGGAAGAAUUAAAAAAUAAAAAAUAACAGUGCAUAUAUUAUGCGAUCCAGGGACACCAUUGGAAUAAGGUUAAAACUGUGAGGUUGAGACUCACCCAGAACUUAAGAAAUAACUGCAUAUAGUAUUAACACACAUAAAUGAUCAAUUGAAGAUCAUAUCAUGUGCAGCAAGCCAAAACAAACAAUUUGAAAUCAAACCAACCAAAACAAACAAAAGUCAUUUCCCAUGGAAGAUUAUCACAAAAUUGCAAGACCUAUACAAUCUAAAUAAAGUGGGUUCUACGGGGUGGAAGAAAGCAUAAAAGCUGCAGUGGAGCAAACCCGGGAAGGUAGGGUAGAGAAUACGCCACCGAGAGAACCUGAGAAUGGUGAAUGGAAGGAUGCAAAAUAUUGUAUACCAACAACAAAAUAUCGCAUAAACUUAGGAAUUGGAUCAUGCUUUUGAUUUUAUCUUUUACCUACAAACAAUCAUAUACAUAGUACUUUAUAUAUUUUUACCAAAAAACGUCCCUAAUAGGCUAAUAUAUGUAAUAAUACAUGAAAAAUAAUUUACCUACCAUGUAUACAAAAAUGUUAUUUGAUUCAAAAUAUAUAAUCCGGGUUUUCUAAUAUAUAUAUGGGUAAAUUACAUAAUACCCCCUCAGGUUUGAGGUCUAUUACAACCUCAUACAACAUCUUUAAACAUUUCACUUUCAUACAUCACCUACUAUUUUAUUUCAAUAUAGUACAUCCGUUACAUUUUUCAUUCAUUGAUCCGUUAAGAGUUGACGUGGUUGCCACAUUUGUGCCACAUGGCUGCCAAAUUUAUGCCACGUGGCAAAAAAUUAAUUUUUUUAUACAUUUAAAAAUAAUUAAUUAAAGAAAAAUUAUUAUAAAAAAUAAUAAAAUAAUAAUAAUCACUAGAACCCAUCUCCCUCUCCUGCACCCCACCCACCCUCCCUCCCGUCUCUUACCCCAUCCACCCUCCCUCCCUUCUCUUUCCACAGCCAACACCCAGAAGAACUCACACCCAUAAAAAUGACGCUCGUCUCCUCAGAUCCCACAGAGCCCCAUCUUUCUCCACAAUCCCUCACCUGCGUCAGAACCCUCGCCGGCACGGCCUCGUUUUGGCUUUUCUUCAACGCCGAGCACAGCGACAGCAGCUUCCGCCGUGUACUCCGUCACCCAUUCCGAGAUGGGUUGAGGUUCUGAUCUGGGUUUUUGAUUGGGGGUCCGAUUGAGAUUUGGAUCGGCUUGAAGUUAGAGAGAGAGAGAUGAAUGGAGUUGGGAGACAAUGGCAAAGAUCUGGUGCGGCGGGGGUGCACCACCAGCGGCAAUACUCUGAUAACUUCUUGGAGACUUCAUCCAACGGGAUAUGCUUCAGUCAGCUGGUCUUCAAUACCUUUCAUCUUCCAACUCAUUUGAUCCUCCUCCUCGGGUAUUUUUUUGCUUUCCCAAUCAAAUCUAUCCGAAUUUAAUCAAAACGUUGUAACAAAUCUGAAAUUUGGGUACAUUGUAAUAAUCAUUUAUUUUGUGGGAUAUGAGUAGGAGAGCACCAUUUUUAUGGGUGUGAGUUCUUUUGGGCGUCGGCUGUGGAGAGAGAAGGGAGGGAAUGAGGGAGGGUGGGUGGGGUGCAGGAGAGGGAUGUGACUCGGGGGGGGGAGAUGGGUUCUAGGGAUUUUUUUGUUUUUUUUUAAUUUUUAUAAUAAUUUUUCUUUAAUUCAUUAAUUUUAAAUGUAUAAAACAAUUAUUUUUUUUGCUACGUGGCAUAAAUUUGGCAGCCACAUGACACAAAUGUGACAGCCACUUCAGUUCUUAACGGAUCAAUGGAUGGAAAAUGUAACAGAUGUAUUAUAUUGAAAUAAAAUAGUAGGUGAAGAAUGAAAGUGAAAUGUUUUUAAAAUGUUGUAUGGGGUUGUAAUAAACCUCAAACCUGAGGGGGUAUUAUGUAAUUUACCCUAUAUAUAUAAUCUAGGUGUAGUGUAUAUAUAUAUAUAUAUUUAUAUAAUUGGAACAAAUUAAUUUACCUACCUACAAAUUAAUUUCCAAUAAUUUACCUACAAAAAAUUAUACCCCAUGUGUAAUAUAAUAUCUUUUUUUUCACUAAUACAUGGAGAAUAAUUUACACAAAACAAGAAGAAAUAUAUUUGAUGUAUUAUAUUGAAAAAUAUUAUGUCAUACCUAUAUUUAUACAACAAUGAAAUGUGCCUAAUAUAUGUAACAAUACAUGAAAAAUAAUUUACCUACAAGGUAGAUAAGUGUUAUUUGAUUCAAAAUAUAUAAUACGGAUUUAGUAUAAUUUUUUUUAAUAAUUGGAACAAAUUAAUUUACUUCCAAAUUAAUGCAAUAUAUAUAUCACAAAAAAGGUAAUUUUUUGGUAUGAUAAGGAUACAAUUAAUGCAAUACAACAGUUUAUAUAUUUUAUUUCACUUUUUCUACAACUUUUAAUUUAGAAUAAAUUUAGGGAUUUGGGAAAGUGGCAUGAGUGUAAAUAAAUUGUAUUAGUCGGUCAAUAGUGUUCCGAUGUGGCUGCAGAUUUUAAAUUUGGGCUUUUAUUGGACAUUUAUAUGUAUAUGAGUUUUUAUCUAGGAAUCAUGAAUUGUAAGGACCAAAAUCUAAAGCACCUUUUAAAAAAAAAAAAAUGAACUUGAGUGUAGAAGGGAGUGCACAUUAUUCUAACUAAUAUUCUUAUUUGCAAUAACAAAGGAGACAACUGCUCAUUUUAAAAGUAAAAAAAAAAAAAAAAAAGUACAUGUGCAUGCAAAUAUAUAAGACGAAAAAAAGUACAUGUGCAUGCAAUAUAUGUGAUGAACAAUACUUGGGUAUUCAAAGAUAAGUAGGAAUUUCUAUUCAAAAUUCUUAGUGUUUUAAUCACAGAGUUUUGUGCUUAUGAUCGGAACAGUUAAUACUAUGAAUCAUAUUGUAAAUAUCAUCUUUGCAAAAAAUAAAUAAAAACUAAGGUCCUUUAGUCAAUCUAUUGUAGUAAAUACAUAAACGGUUUAUAAUGCUUUUACCAAUACCGUUCAUUUGUUUUUAAAUAGUUUGAUAACUAAACAACCUUAGUUUUAAUUCAAUUUUUGCAAAGACGGUCUUUAUAUGAUGAAUAAUAAUAUGAAUAGUUCUGAUUAUAAACAUAAAAUUCUAUAAAUUGACAACGAACAAUUUUGAAAAUUUUUUAGUAGGAUUUACUACUAAUAGUAGCCAAGCAUUACAAUUCCAAAAAGUCGACCAGUUGUGUUUACGUGGCUGUCUAAAAUUCUACAUAUAUACACAAGCUACUACCAAACCAAGAAACAGAAAAAAGGACAGCCAUAUGUUAAGAUAACAUCAAUUUAUCCGAUCCAAGAAAGCCUUGAGAUUCUUGUCAGAAGACCCACCUUCACUCACAGCCUCUCUUGCCAAAUCUUUCCAUUUCUUAGCAUUCCUUCUCAUCUCUUCACCAAUCUCCCCACUUCCCAUGACCAACUCCAAACACCUUUUGAGCUCGUCACCCGUAACAAUCCCCUUCUCAUUUGGUGUCACCCUCAAUCCUGUCUUCCAAGCGUCCUCUAUCAACUUGGCAUUCGUUCCUUGGUCCGUCCACUGAGGAAACGCCACGACUGGCACCCCCGAAGCGAAGCUUUCCAAGCUUGAAUUCCACCCACAAUGUGUCACAAAGCAACCCAACGAAGGACUUGACAGAACCUCCACUUGACUACACCACGGCACUAUCCUCCCUAGCUCUUCCAAUUCCUCUCUGCAACUCAACAUCUCUUCUUCUUCCUUCGCCUCAUUAUCUUCUCCCUUCUUAUUGACUUUAUCUCUAAUAACCCACAAGAACGGACGGCCGCAAUCCAACAACCCUUUGGCGAUUUCCUCCAUUUGGGCCUUUUCCAACACACAAAUGCUUCCGAAGGACACAUAAAUCACCGACCCUUCCGGCUUCAAGUUCAGCCACUCCAGGUACGGAGAGUCCUUGGAUUUUUUGAGAAGAUCGCCUCCAAAUGACUUGUCCGAUGGAUCCUUGCCGUCCAAGAAAGUCGUCGGAAUCAAUGGCCCGACUCCAAUCAAAUUGUACUUUUCAGUUGCUUUUAAGGCUUCCGGCUCUAGUGCAUCGAACGUGUUCACUAGAAUGAUCGGGUUGGUUUCUCUCUCCAGCAGAUCCAUCUGUUCUUGAAACAACGGGAGGGCGAAAUUGUAGGGAUUUGUAUCCACCAUGAAGGAGGGAAGGUCUCGGCUUGUAAGAGAUAAUGGCAAACCUGGUAACUCUAUUGAACAUGGAAGGGCAUCGUUCGUACCAGAACUAGUAUUAUCCCGGAUGAGAUCUUUGAACCCGUUAAAGUAAUAGUAGUAGAUGUCGAAAACUGUGGCUGGUUGAAUCCAAAGCAGCACAUUUGGGAGGUGAAGUUCAUGCGCCACGUCCGCGGCCCAGGGGAGAAGUAUUGUGUAGACCAUGCAAGUGUAAGGGUGACCCUCGUUUUCACUUGAGACUACAAGGUCGGUGAUGGCUUGUGCUCCGUGGUGCCGCAACUCCGACAAGUAGUGGUCGAUGUUGUCUCCGGGCUUAAACCCGUCGUCGUAACCAUCAGAGAAGGGCGCAUAAGUCAAUCCAUCUGGAAUUGAGCCAUUGCCAAUGCGAUGAUGGGCUGAGAGACUGGUAAUGAAGGUGACAUGCGCACCUGUAGUGUUGAUAAGGCGCUUGGCGAAUUGGAGGGAAGGGUUGAUGUGGCCUUGAGCCGGAUAUGUGACAAGUAGAAAGCGGUGUUGCACCAUGGCAGCGUAUGCGAUUGCGGAGGUGCGCGGUGGAGCGUGGAGUUGUUGGAAGUAGAAUAAGUAGGUACCUAGUUUACUGGUGGAAAAUUUGGUGCUGUGGGCUUAUUAGCUUAGUGAAGUUGAAAUUCUUGUGGGAGUACGUAUUCAAGGUGGGGAAUGCGGUGAGAGAAUGGCAAGGCUUAAAUAGGGGUUUGGGGGCGGAAAUGUGACGUUUGUGGUGACGAAUUGAAGGCGCUGGUGACAAAGCAAAGAUGAGGACACUUGUGAUUUGUGGUCUUCUCGGUGCAUGCAUAUAAUAUUAUGGGUAAAGACACGCUCAUUACAUAUUUAUACCAUUAUUUGUAUCAUUUCUAUAAUAACGAUGCGAUCCACAUGUUUUGGUGGACUUUACCUCUGAGAGACUAUACAAAAUGUGAUAAGUGUAGCAUUAUUCCUAUUUAUAUCAUAUUUUGUAAAUCAUAUGAUGUAAUUGUUGAUGAUUUGAUUAUUACUUAAGCUUUGAUUAACGUAAUUAUUUUUUAUUAAUAACACAUCACAUAUAUAAUGUACAAAUUUAGUCUAAAGUUAAUCUACCCAACAUUACUCUUUUAAAAUUGGUUUCAUCAAACUUCGUAGCACAUCACAAAGACUAAAUCCAAUCUAAUGUGGUAGGAUAGACAAAUCAUCGAAAAACUGAUAAAUAUACUUGCUAGUGUUUGAAUUGUUAGUUUAUUAAUUAUUAUUUCGAUCUGGUUUGGUUGGCCGAAUAAUAUAUUAGGCCUCGUUAAGUCAGGAGUGAGGCCAUGAAUAAUUGGGUUCGUACUAAAGAGCCUACACGGUUCAUCAUGGAUGUGACCUUGAGGUCUUGUCUUCAAUACUAGAAAAAAACUCAGGACCAAGACACGAUCCGAUGGUGGCACGCUCCCGCACCCUAAAACUGAAGGGAAAGAGAUUAUUUCUAGAUUUCUUCCACCCAGUCUACCAAAUCCACUUAUUUGAAUUAUUGAAAUUUGAUCUAACAGUUAAAGUUAUUAUAACUUUUAAAGGGUCUUUCUGUUUGUAACCGUUGAAUCAAAUUUCAAUGGCUCGGAUAAGUGGACUUUGUGGACUUAGUGAAAGAGAUCCGGAGAGAAUCCCUUUUCCAAACUAAAGUCCUAAAACUAAAAGAAGGGCCAAAUUUGUUUCUUGUGAUCCUAAGCCGAAAGGAGACAUGUUAAAAUAUCUCACAUCGAUAUAAUGAAAGAGAAAAUAAGAGUUUAAAUAUUAUAAUUCUACUCCAACUAAUAUUGAGAUCUUUUGUGUUAAAAACCUCACACCUAUUAAACUGUGCAAGUGCUAAUUAACAAAUUGGAGACAAGAUCGAUAGUGUUGGAAGUAGAUCUUUAUCCGUUUUUUUAAUAAUUUGACAAAGCAAACAUACAUACGCUCCAUAUGUCGUAAUUUAGUACGAUAUGAAGCGUAAGAAAGAAAGAAAAAAAAAAAAGCAGCCAAAUAGUUUUGGUGAAAUGAAAUAUGAAAUAACCUCUACCGUGGGACUCAUACUCUAUUUUAUAUAGUCUAAUACUUUAGAUAUCUUUCAUCUUAUCAGUACAUUAUCCUAAAUUCCUAAUCCUGCUAAGAUUCCUAGUCAGACUAAACUUCCCUAACUAAGCUAGAUGGUUGUAGUAUUGUCUUCAAUCAAGCAUGCGUGAUGCGUGAUGAGUACAUAAUAAGGACUAGUAGGUUUGACGUGGUAAGAGAGACAAGGUGAAUUUAGUGACCACAAACUGAUUAAUACACAUACAAAUUUGUGAUUUCUCUAGGGCCCCGUUUAUCAUAUGCCGAAUUUGAUUGAUCCAGCUGCAUCACACUAAAAUUGAUUGGUCCAGCUGUAUCACACUAACUUUCGUUUGACAACAACGAUUGAUGACGUAUUUUAUAGGAGACGUGAGCAUGCCAAAUGUACAAAAAGUGUGGCAUGACCGUUGUCAUGCUUUUUGUAGAAUUUUUCAGAUCGACAGGCCAAAAGUCCAUUCCAAUAAUAUCGAUAUUGUUCCCACUUAACCGUUUGCACAAUCCUCAGGUGUGGGGUUUUAUCACAAAAUGUCUUGGUGUUAGUUAGAGUAGGGUAUUUCUAUUUAAAGUGCUUUCUUUCUUGGCUUUUAGUUCUACUCCAGCAACAGCACGCUUGCUUUGUGGCUAUUGCCUCAUUUUCUUGUACUGUUGUUGACCCUAAAAACUAUCAAACUUACGUGAUGUGCAUGCCGAGUAACUAAGAACUAACUAUGUCCUUCUUGUGGUUGAUGCGGGUGUGCCACCUUGCCGCCGAGAUGAAUUGGGCGAGUGCAAUAAGUGUGGUGGUGGUGUCAAUUGCGUAGCUGGCUUCUAGACCUAGGGUUUUGCUAACUUGAAGACAAUGUUGCUAAUCUCACAGUGAAGUUCAAUCAAGAUUCGGCUUUCGUUGUGCCAAAGGGGUAACCUAAGAACACAUCACUUCGUUGAAGCUGAUGAGAUGAUCUCUUGAGACAAAAGAAUAGAGAAUUCCUUGUCCGCCGAGACUUGAAUAGAUAACCAACAAGGAUAUGAGAGUUGUUUAAAGGUCUCUUCAGUCAGGCAUGUUCUACGCCUCCAAUGCUGUUUAACCAAACUGAAGGUGUCGCCGGUUGUUGAUACAGUGAUGUUUAACCAAACUAAAUAUUUGUCAACAGGGAGGGGUUAAUGAGUAAUUAGUAUUUUUUUUCAGGUUGUGGAGGGUAUCUCAUAAAAGCGUUGAUUUUUGUAUGAGCGACUACAGGCGAGGAAGGAAUGCCUCUAGACCUAGGGCUCUAGAACCUAAACACAAGGUUGCUUAAUUCACUGCGAAGUUGAGGAUAUUUUGCACCAGGUUCGGCAACUUCAACUAUAUCCUUGAAAAUAUAAGUAUGCCAAAUAGGUAUUAGGCUAUAAGGACAAAGAUACUCAAAUGAAAUGAGAUCUUUAUGGUGAAUGUUGUUCAGCAGUCUGAAUGUCGAACUUCCAAAUACACUUACAAGUAACUAAUCAUAGAACAUCUCACUUCGCUAGGGGAGCUAAUAAAGUGACCGCUUUCAGCGAAAGUAUCAAAGACUCAUCGUUGGCUGAGACUUGGAGGUAGCCAACUAAACCAGAAGUAGUACUGUUUAACCAAAUUGAAGGUACUCCUAGGCCGCCUAAUUCAAUGGCUCUAGUGACUUUUAGCCGAACUGAAUAUGUUUCCUAUUAGCCAACCCAAUGAUGUUUAAACGAAGUAAAUAUGUACUGACAGAGGGAUUAUGAUAAUUGGUAUUUUUCUGAAGAUUGUGAGAAGAGUUUCGGGAAGAACGAGGUUCUUUGCGUAACCCGUUUGAGCUGUUUGUUGAGUUGAAAGGGAAUUUUCACGUUGCAUAGCCUCUCAUAUUUAUAGGACGGCAAUGCUUCGGCUAACAGGUUCCGAAACCAAUUAGAACUGCAGCAUGCUCCUGGAGCUUUAUCCCAUUUUACUUGCUAACUAUCUGAUGCUUAAGUCCAGAUAACAUCUCAUGAGAAACAAUUCUCAUUUGGGGUCAUGUGCAUGAGGCCUACUUCCCUCCUAAGAUGGGACUCUAUCAUUAGUUACAUGGAAGAUAUCAUAUCCUUUGCCCCGACACGUUGCAUGCAUAUCCACAUAAGUUACAAAUAACAAACCUAUUUGAUGUGCUUCUCACCGUGCCCAUCUUAAUAGUCAUUUAUCUUCUUUGAAUUUGUAGAAUUGGAAAGCAAUCACACUGCUCAUAAACCUCAAAUGCAGCUCGUGCUGAAAGAGAGUCCAUAACUCCUGGAGCUUUAUUUCUCCCCCGAGUCCAUCGUCAGUGAAACCGUGGUACACAAAGGAAAGAGGAUGCUCUCCGGAUCCUCUUGAUGGGGAUCCUAAGGAUCUUCACAUCUUAACCGUUUAUCGUACGUUCAGUUUUCAUCAGGUACUAUUUGUGUUUGAUUGUAAAUAAAAAAAUUCAAAUAAUUUCUAGCUGCACGAUAUACGAUGAAUGACUAAGAUGUGAGGAUUCUUAAGAUUUCCACCAUUUGAAUCUAGAUGGAAUCCAAAUCUUACUAAAUGAUAGGAUGAGACAAAAUUGUAGCUGUGUUGGAGAAAGAGUGUCAACUUCGCUUUUGUUGCAUGCGGGACAAAUUGUGUAAUAUUGGGUCCAAACAAGUUUACUCUAAAAGACAGAGUGAAACUGUGAAUAGAAAGAGUGCCUCCUCAACCGGUUUACCAUCGGCCACAUGUGAUCAUUUGCAUGUCUUAUGAUGCUAAAAACAAACAAGAAUAAACAGAAAAACCCCAAAUUUUCAACAAGAUAGCGACGUAGCACUACAUGGUUUCCUCUUGGUAUAUAAGCCAAACUACAGAAAAAAUAAACGUCAUCCAUGAUGAUAUCUGAAAAAUCAGACUGCAACCAAAAUUUACAAUACAUCUUUUAGCUUGUCUUUUGCUUUGCAUAUCACGAAAAACAUAUAUACACCUCACAGCAAAUGAAAUUAUAGCACGUGUAUAUUCAUUCUGGAUAAUACGGAAGAGUUCAAGAGGCUACAUGAGGGAUUUAACUAAGUUGAGCAGCUAUGCACUCAAAAUUAGCUAAAGGGGAUGAAAGAAGGGGAAAACGGUUAGGAUUAUGAUAAGUAAAUAGUGCAGUUCUUUUCUAAUGUCAUAAAAAAAAUACAAAAAUAUUUACGACUAUAAUAAAUAAAUAGUUCGUUGAUCAUUUUCUAGCGUAAACGAUUGAUCCUGGAACAUCUCAAUAAUCAAAUCUAAAGCUGAAGAGGUAGAUGUUGUGAUUCUUCAUCAGUCCUAGCAAGGUUAUAAUGCGCCUAGAGGAAAAUCAUUUUUUAUUUUAAAUGAAUGUUUUUAUUAUCGAGCAAUCUAUCUCCUACCUCCAAAUUUGUCAUAUUUUUCCUUUAUUCUUUCUAACUUACCUUAAAAAUAAUAACUCAUGUAUUUCAAUUCAUUUCUCUCUGCCAAAUGAGCCUGUAGUUACUUGAGAAACGCUAAGAAAACUCUUUCAAAGUGAGACUAUUUAUGCACUAUCUGUCACUUCACUGUUUAACGUCAAUUCUCAUGUCAAUAUUAUAAAAUAUUAUUUUAAAACAUGAGGUAACAAAUAAUCUAAAAAAAUUACUUUUGAGAGAAUCUGUUUAGCAUUUCUUAUAGUAACUUAUUAAACCAUUAAGUAUCUUUGAGCUCAUUUCGGAACAAAUGUGAACCUUUAUUGUGAGGUCGACUACUGUCAGUUCAUUCCUAUACCUUGGUCCUUGGUCGACGCUCAAAUUAUUUUUUCCAAUUAAAUCCAAGUAUAAGUGACUCGAGCAGAGUUCCUGUGGUAUUUUCUCUCUUAAUUUUCCUCUUUCUUUUCUUUUUUCAACGAGGGCUUUGGUUUCUUCUGUGAGAUAGAGGUUGUUGAUAGAUAGAUGUCUCUUCCAUUUUUUUUGAGAGUAUUUGAUGCCAAUAAUUAUCCACUGAGGUUCUUUUUUGGAUAAAAUUUAUGGGGCCCCAAUUUAUCCAAUUUGAUUAUAGAUUGACAGAAACUAACAUUUGGGAUUUGUUGAAGGAUAAAUAUUUCAAUGUACCGAGAACACAAUUAUGUAUAUCUAUUGUUAUUACAAAAGUGGUUGGAGUUUCUUUUCGAAGAUCUAACUACAUGUUUUAUAACAUUUUGUGUAUGUAACUGUAUUUCUCUUAUAUUGAAAAAUCUAUCAUAUUAGUCUAGAGCCCGGAGCAUUAUCGGUAUGAAAAAAUGGACAAAGUACUACAAUAUUCUAGAGAAUUAGAACCAUAUCUUAUGGGUUUAAAUUUACAAUCGUGUUUUAAUUUUAAUUUUCUGUCAUUCAAUGGAGUAGUGGGCCUUCAAAUAAUAAUAGAGUUCUUGCUCAAAAAUGCAGAUUCAUUUAUUUUAGGGAGGCUUUAAAUUCGAUCUCCAGUCAUUAACACUCUUUAAUUAAAAUCUUUAUGGUAUAUAAUUUUUUUUUUUUUUUAUCAAAGUCCAUUGACUUUGUACACGUCGUUAUAUUACUAUUAGUAUGUAUAUUUCUAUAUGGGAUCAUGCUAGGGAAAUCAAAUUUUUAAACCAAAUUGCAAACCAAAUGAUGUGUCAUCUCGUUAUAUUCCCUAAACCAAUAAGAAACAAACACGUUAAUCGAUACUUAAUUAAUAAUUUAAUCAUAUACAACCACAUUGUGACAAACCGUCCCUAAUUUUACAAUUUUAUAAAUUUUAAAGGCAUGAUUUUACAAAAAUACCCUUAGAAGUGAGGGUGUUGACUUUCGUUGAUCAAUGUAUAGUGAGACAUACGACUUAUUCUUUCAGCGUAUUUUGCGUAGUACCUGUUGAUACGAACGCAUAGACACAAGCGGAAGUGAACUUGGAACUACGUUUAAAGUUUUACGGAGCUACAAAUCCGAAAAGUACGUUUCUAAGGAUUUCCAUUAUUUAUUAUUUUAUACUUUCAUAAGUAUUAUUAAAUUAGUUUAAGGUUAUCUUGUGGAAAAGAAAAAAGAAAAGAGAAGAAGAAGCUGCAUGAUGGUAGCGAGUAAAAUGAGAAAAAGAAAAAGGAGGAACAAAUCGAGGAGCUGCCCAAUCAGGAGAAAGGGAAGAAAGAGGGAGAGACCAAUCAGAAGAAGAAAGGAAGGGAAGGGAGAGAAGUGUGAUGUACAGGAUCGGAUUCCCGACCCAUUUUGGUUCGACCCAACUGGCAGUAGCACCAAGUGUCUAGAGCCAUUCAUGGCGUUUUUCGGUGGAUUGCAGACACCCACCAUCUAGAACCAACUCAUCAUCAUCUCCUCUUCCAUAUUCAGCCAUAAAUCAACACGAAUUGAUCACGUUCUUGUGAGAUAGCACUAGAGGGGUUCGCGAUGUACGGUGGCGAAAUCCACCAUUUCUGAAAUGAAUACCUUCUAUCUCCACCACUAUUAGACUCUCCUUAAGCCUUGGAACAAAGCCCAAUUGGUUGUAGGGGCGUCGGAACACCAUGGAAGGUGAAUCGAAGAACACCCAUUCUAGGGUUUCCGUCGGGUGCGAGCCAAAUUGGAGCCUUUCUCGGUCAAAUUGGGCUUGGCCACAGGCGAUGAUGGUUUGUGACGCCUCAAUAUUCGUGCUAGAGAAUUGUAGCGCGGACUUCAGGUGAGUGGGUCUUUUCUUUUUAUAAUAUAUAUAUAUAUAUAUAUAUAUAUAUAUAUAUAUAUAUGAUUGAUAGUUCCACAAAUGCUUUUAAAUUGAUUUAUGCAUUUUAUGUCAUGUCAUAUAUAUAUAUAUAUAUUUUAAAUACUAUGAUAUAGUUGAGUUUUAGAUUGCAUCAUGGCAUAUCUAUAUGCAUAUUACCUGCAUAUAAUUGUUGUCUUUGAAGUGCUAUGGUGAAUGCGGGACGCGUAGGUAAGUUCAGGUGAGUUUAGGGUGUUAUUUGAAAUGAUUGAGUUAUGGCAUGACUAUAUUUAUGUUUUAUGCAACUCCGACACUGUCGUACAGGUUGCAAUGAUGGGCAACUCCGGCACUGUCGUACAUGUUCCAAUGAUAGGCAACUCCGGCAUUGUCGCACAAGUUGCAAUGAUAGGUAACUCCGACACUGCGGCACUGUCGUACAUGUUGCAAUGAUAGGCAACUCCGGCACUGUCGCACAAGUUGCAAUGAUAUUGAUUUAUGAGUCGUAUAAGUUGCAUUAGGUAACUCUGACUCCUGUGUCAGCAUAGAUUGAUGAACACCUGAUUUUAUUAUGUUGCUGUUGAUAUGUAGUGAUUUGGAAUAUUUUUGGAUUUAUUGUUGUUUUGCAUUUGAUUUCAUACUAUAACGUAGUAUGACUUUCUGGAAACUAUAUGGGUUUUACAGCGAGGGGUUAUAAUGUUUUCAUAAGGUUUUUAUUAAAAUUUUAUUUUCAGGCCCACUCACCCUUGUUUUUUGCCCCUCCAGGUUUUAAUAGGUGAGCUUUCUUAUCGACGAGGAUUUGUGGCAAAUCUUGGUAUUGGAGAUUACCUUCAAUGGUAUGAUUCUCAAUCCACUCUACUGUACUUUACUUAUGCUCUGACGUCACGUGUGAAAUGAGUUCAUUCUCGCUCACAAUGCAUUCUUGUAUUUUGGCAGUUUUAGGUUUAAAUUUAUUCACAUUUUCCACAUCACUACACUUUAUGGCUUCGUCACCUUGUAGGUGUCGGCCAUUAUAGCUUGAUUCGGAGUCCUAGUGGACAUUUCGGGUCGGGGUGUGUCAACAUCAUUUGGUUUGCAAAUUUGAUUUAAAAAAUUUGGUCUCUCUAGAUUACCCUUCUAUAUGUUUGACAUUUUAUGAGAUUUAUGAUCCCAUAUUGUGUGUAUAAUAUGACAUACAAAUGUCAAAUUUAAAAUCCCUCUUUACAUUACUAUUAGAAAUGGCUACAAUAAAAAAUUUUCAAAAAAUUUGAUUGAAUAAAAAGUAACAACAUAACAAUACAAAAUAAUAAAUGGCAAAGGAAUGUAUUCAUAGCAUUAAAAAAUUGGUACAUUUUAAAUAUAAAAUUUUACAAAAAAAAAGGGUAUUUUUUACAUAACAAAGUGGUACAUUUAUAAAGAAGAAUGGGUACAUUAUAAAUAACUUAUGGGUGCAAAUAAAAGAUUAAAAAGUCAUGAGUACAAAUGAAAUUUUAAAAAAUAUGGGCUCAAAAAGAAAUUAAUAUAUGGGUACAAAUUAAAAUUAAAAAGAAAACUAGUACAAAUUAAAAAAAAAGGGCUGCAAAAUAAAAUAAAGUACAAAUUAAAAACAGAAAUAUAUGAUUUAAAUUUUAGUUAUAAAUUAAUAUAAUAUAUCAAAUGUAACGUCACCACCCGUCCCGAAUUAUUUUAUCGAUAACGUGGAAAUUCCUUUUAUACCCUUGAGCGUUGUGUGAUGUCGUGUGUUAUGAGUUUUAGAUGUGGACCAAAUAGGUUAAGUUCUAAUUGUUUGAACCCGAUUAGAACUAAGUUUUCAUUAUUUUUUAUUGGUGACAAGCUAGACCACACCCUCACACACACACAUAACUCACGUGUACCCUCUCUCUCCUCCCUCUCCUCCCUCUCUCGGAUUUUCUUACCAUUUUACAACUUAUAUGGAUAACCCUCAAAACCCUUUCAAACUUCACAGAUCGAGGUUGUGAUUGGUGUUUUUGGACUCCUUGCAAGCUCAGGAGUCGAAUGGUGGUGGUGGUUGGACGUGAAAACCUUGAAAACCCGAGAACCCAGAAUCUCAGAUUUUGAGCACUGUUCAUGCAGUCAUCAUCGUGGCCUUUUCUUCUAGUUUUAAGGUUCUAGAAAGCUUUAGGACAUCUUCACGAAGCUCAGGGAAGAAAGUUUGAGUGUUUUGGACGUCGAGAAGCUUAGUUUGAUGAGUUUCAAAUUUUGGCUGGAUUAUCGAGGUUUCUCCGACAAGGUUCCGUGGGAUUUAGGGCUUAAAAUUGGUAAGGUUUUGUUCUACUCGUUGUAAGCUUCAUUUUGGUACAAAUUUCAUGAAUUUUGGUUGAGAAAUGGAGAAGAUAUUGAAGUUCUAAGAUUUUUCUAGUUUCUGGCGAUUGCAGCAGUACCGGCGUCGGACUCCAGUGAACCAAGGAAAAAGGAGGAGAAUAUUCCGUCAAAGUUGACGAAAUAUUCUAACGCCGUCAGGUAAUUCUAACGGUAUAUGUUGUUUUUAACGGAAUAUUCCUAAUGCCAUCAGGGAAUCCGUUUGGUGUGACAGGCACGUGCUUGCGCGUGAGCCGCGCGUCUGGUCCUGCCUUGGCCGGCGCAUGAGGGCGCGUGGGUGUUCAGAAAUUUUUUCUAAAAAUAUGGGGAUGUUCUUGAGGUUGAGUAGGUUAUGGUGGUAUAUUCAAAUACCCCAUUUGAGCAAUGUAUGAGAAGUUAUUUCCUAGUUUUGUGUAUGUGCUUUAAAUAAUGUUUAUUUAGUUAUUUUGCAUAUAGGUGAGACCUAUCCGGAGGACGAGCGCCAUCAAUCGAGGCUCGGGGGCUACGACCCUUUGACAUAUCAGUGAGUGGGCUUUUGGUUUUCAGUAUAUACCUAUAUACUUGAGAUUUUUCCUAGAAAAUGAAUUUGAAUGAUUAUACGUUUUGAAAUGCCAUGCAAAGUAUCUGCCUAUUUUAUUUAUGCAUUAGUAGUUGCAUAUAUUUAUGAUUGGUGCUGCGGACGCACAGGUAAGUGCCAGGUAAGUUCAUAAAUUAAAGAUAAGAGAUUACUUCAGUUAUGCGAGAUAUGAUGUGAUGUAUUGAGAGCUCAUAAACUUGCACCCCGGUGUUAGUGCUCCCGCCCAUAGUUAGGGCACAAUCCUUCAUGUGAUUGUUCACCUCCCACACCAUAUGCUCACCUUGGAUCCAAGUUAGGUGCACAGGCUUGUCGUACAGACCACUUUAGGUGGUUCCGACUGGUAGGUGACCCGCGAUCAUUCACACAGUCUUCACGUGAUCGUAGCACUAAAGCAUAUUUAUUUUACACCUAGUCCUGUCGUACAGACCACUUUAGGUGGUUCCAACUCUUGUGCAUAAUUUGAUAUGGUUGAGAUUGGUUAUGAGAUAUAGACUCAGCCGUGCAAAUUAAUUGAGGGCAAUUCGGCUGAUAUGAUAUCUGACAUUGAUAUAUUUUAACUGGAUUACUUAUAGCAUUUCAUUGAGAUACUUUGGCAUGGUAUAUUUCUAUGGAUUUUUAUCCUGAGCAUAAUUUCUGAUAUAGCAUAUAUUAUAUUUCUGGGAAAUUAUACAGGUUUUACGGCAAGGGAUUAGAACUUUUGAGAAAUGAAAUGAUUUUGAAAAGCUUUGUUUUUGCCCACUCACACUUUCUGUUUUGCGCCCCUCUAGGUUUUAGGUAGAAGUGCUUUGGUGGCUCACGGGGAUUUCGGCGGUGGUUCUGACAGAACAUCACAAAUGUAGGAUUACCUUUGGGUGUUAUAUAUCUAGUACUUGUCCAGUGGGAUUGCACUUAGGCUAUUUACGCUCUGAUGAUGUAUUUCACACUUAAUCUCGCACUUGUACCUUAUCUUAAUUAGUACUCUAGUUGAUUUGAUUUUUGUUAAUUCGUAUUUCCUUAUAUCUUUAUUGCUUCCGUACUGUGCACAUGGCUACGUCAUCUUCAUGUGACGACCAUCAUACCUCGAUUCAUGUCAGGGUGUGUCAUAACGUUUCUAACACCAAAUGAAUAUAUUUUAGAAAUAAAAUUUAAUUAUGCUACUAUGUAUAUUUUAUUAUUGAAAUGAUGACGGUCAUUAAAACCUAAGAACCUUGAUAAAAAUUAAAUUGCAAAAAGAAAAAAAGGUUUUAUUCUCAAAAAAAUCAAUGAAAUAGAAAAAAGAGGGAUGGAAACCUAAUUUCUCCAUCAACUUACUUCAAGAUAAUAAAAUUGAAAACUGUGUUAACUAUGUUGGCAUGUGAUUUAGACUACUAAGAAUCAAAAUCAUGUGUUUUAAAAGGGAAAUGUUUUUGCACUCUAGAAAUCUUAUUCUAAACUCAUCAUAAAUGCAUUUUGCUUUCUAAUUAUAGACGAUUUGGAGUGUAAUAUGAGAUUUUUGAAGUGCCAAUAACAAUUCCCUUUUAAAAUUCUUUAAAUAGAAAUCACAAACUUGGUGUCAACUUCACCAAUGGACAGAAUACUUCAUUAAACAAAUCCAAAUAGACACAGUACAACUUGCAACUAGCCUUUAGAAAGGAUUGUCAUACAUAAAAGGAUGCCACUUUUGUAAACAAAGCAUGAGUAAUAGUUCUUCUCUGCAACAUUUACAAAACAGUAAAUAAAGGAAAUACGUAAAAAGGUUUCAACUCAAAAAGAAAAAUCCUCCUUAUAGGUCCAAGAGUGGCUAGUAGAGAAAACCUAGAGACCUAAUUGAGGGAUGAGAUGUUGUUGAUGCCCUAGAGACGACCAACCACCCACACCACCAAUUUCGCACCAUAAAAUAGACCUCUAGAUAGUAUCAUAUACAGACUUUCAAAAGCCCCAAAUAAUAAAAAAGCUAAACCACAAACAUACAACAUUAUAGCACCCAUCACAAAACUCAGAUUUAUCACCAAUUAACCUACUGUUCGAUUGGAGCAAAUUUGUAAGAAUUAGAACUUAAGUGCAGAUGGGAUAGCACAUUACGAUCUAAUUCUUAUUUGCAAUAACAAUGGAGACAACAACACAUUUUAAAAGUAAAAUGAAAAAGUAAUUUUUUUUUGUCGAAAAGAUAGAAAUUUAUUAAAGCCAAACGAUAAGGUUUACAUCAACUGCAAGAAUAUUAAAUAAAUAAUCCGAGCCAAUCUUAUCCCAAAGGAACUUGCCACCAUAAUUGGUAGCAAACGAAGCCACCUCAUGGGCAGCAAAGUUACUAUCCCGCGGAACAAAUCCAAACUUUACAAAAGUCGACCAGUUGUGUUUACGUAGCCGUCUAAAUUCUACAUCUAUGUAAACUACUACCAAACCAAGAAACAUAAAAAAGGACAGCCAUUUGUUUAAGACAACAUCAAUCUAUCUGAUCCACUGUUCUAAAAAUCCCUGCCUAGGCGCUAGGUGGCCGGCCACCGCCCCAAUUAAUGCUUAGGCAUUUGAAAAUUAAGAAAGGGCACCUAGACCUACUAAGGAGCCUGUCUAGACCGCCUAGCCCGCCCAGACCUGCCUAGGUUGCGACUCACUUACAGAAAAUAGAUAACUUUCACUUUGCAUUUUAUAUUUUCAAUAAAUUGUAAGAGACUUGUUGAAUACUUAAAUGAACACACAUUAUAUGCUUAUUCCCACUUUUCAUUAUGUUCCAACCGCUCAUAAUAGAUAUGUCAUUCUAUUUUGUUGUUUAUGAUGACAUCAUAUAUAUUUUAAGCAUAAACAUACACUUACUUACACGAAAUAUAAUAGAUUUAAUCGAAUCCGUCUAGGCGCCUGCCUAGACACCUAGCCGCGUAGUUGCCAGGCCCCAGGUCCUAGGCCGCCACCCGACUAGUGCCUAGCAUCUUUUAAAACCUUGAUCUGAUCCAAGAAAGCCUUGAGAUUCUUGUCCGAAGAGUCCCCUUCACUCACAGCCUCUCUUGCCAAAUCUUUCCAUUUCUUAGCAUUCCUUCUCACGUCUUCACCAAUCUCCCCACUUCCCAAUACCAAAUCCAAGCACCUCUUGAGCUCCUCACCCGUAACUAUCCCCUCCUCAUUUGGUGUCACCCUCACUCCUGUCUUCCAAUAGUCCUCUAUCAACUUGGCAUUCGUCCCUUGGUCCGUCCACUGAGGAAACGCCACCACGGGCACCCCUGAAACCAAGCUCUCCAAACUUGAAUUCCACCCACAAUGUGUCACAAAGCAACCCAACGAAGGACUAGAGAGAACCUCCACUUGACUACACCACGGCACUAUCAUCCCGAGCUCUUCCAAUUCCUCUCUGCACCUCAACAUCUCUUCUUCUUUCUUCGCCUCGUUAUCGUCUCCCUUCUUGUCGACCUUAUCUCUAAUAACCCACAAGAACGGAAGGCCGCAAUCCAACAACCCUUUUGCGAUUUCCUCCAUUUGGGCCUUUCCCAACACAGAAAUGCUUCCGAAGGACACAUAAAUCACCGACCCUUCUGGCUUCGAGUUCAGCCACUCGAGGUAUGAAGAGUCCUUUGAUUUUUGGAAAAGAUCGCCUCCAAAUGACUUGUCCGAUGGAUCCUUGCCGUCCAAGAAAGCGGACGGAAUCAAUGGCCCAACUCCAAUCAAGUUGUACUUGUCAAUUGCUUUUAAGGCUUCCGGCUCUAGUGCAUCGAACGUGUUGACUAGAAUGGUCGGAUUGGUUUCUCUUUCCAACAGCUCCAUCUGUUCUUGAAACAACGGGAGGGCGAAAUUGUACGGAUUUGUAUCCACCAUGAAGGAGGGAAGGUCUCGGCUUGUGAAAGAUAAUGGCAAACCUGGUAAUUCUAUUGAACAUGGAAGGACAUUGUUCGUACCAGAACUAGUAUUAUCCCGGAUGAGAUCUUUGUACCCGUUAAAGUAAUAGUAGUAGAUGUCGAAAACCGUGGCUGGCUGAAUCCAAAGCAGCACGCUUGGGAGGUGAAGUUCAUGUGCCAUCCCUGCCGACCAAGGGAGAAGUAAUGAGUAGACUAGGCAAGUGUAAGGGUGACCCUCGUUUGCACUUGCGACUACAAGGUCGGUAAUGGCUUGUACUCCGCGGCGCCGCAGCUCUGACAUGUAGUCGUCGAUGUUGUCGCCGGGCUUAAACCCAUCGUCGUACCCAUCAGAGAAGGGCGCAUAGGUCAAUCCAUCUGGAAUUGAGCCAUUGCCUA